CGCCUGCAGGUGGGCUUCCAGAGGGAGAACCUCCAGAGGGAGAGCCCCCAGAGGGAGUUGGGCUAUAUGGGGGGCUAGAGUAAGAAGGAGAUGAUGGAGUGGUAGGAGAUGAACCAGACGGGGUAGGGCUGUAAGGGGGGCUAGAGUAAGUAGGCGACGACGGGGUAGGAGGAGACGGACCAGAUGGGGUCGGACUGUAUGGGGGACUGGAGUAAGUAGGAGACGAUGGAGUAGAAGGAGAUGGGUCGGAAGGAGUUGGGCUGUAUGGGGGACUCGAGUAAGAUGGAGACGAGGGAGUUGUAGGAGAUGAGCUGGAGGGAGUUGGACUGUAAGGAGGGCUGGAAUAGGUAGGAGAUGACGGAGAAGAACCAGAAGGAGUUGGGCUGUAAGGAGGGCUAGAAUAUGUAGGAGAUGACGGAGAAGGACCUGAAGGAGCAGUAGGAGAUGGACUAGAAGGAGCUGGGCUAUAUGGAGGACUGGAAUAAGUAGGAGAUGAGGGAGUCGUAGGAGAUGAACUGGAAGGAGUCGGGCUGUAUGGAGGACUAGAGUAGGAUGGAGAAGGGGUCACAGGAGACCCACCGGAGGGAGUACCAGGAGAGUAAGGAGGAGAACUGUAGACUGGAGUGGGAGUCACAGGGGAAGGAUCGGAAGCAACUGGGGGAGAAUACGAUGGAGUGUAGGGAGUAGCCGGUGGAUCAGUGGAGGGAGGAGGAGGGCAGAGAGUCAAACUCGGGAUCAAGCUUCCCAGGCCUGAAGACGUGAGAAGCACCCUCGCCUCCGUGUUGACGAUACAAGCGCAGCAGCUUAGAAGAGCUGCGACGAGAAUCAGCUGCGUCGACAUAGCUUGCGACCUGCUCGUCUUCGCCAUGGCGUAAUGAGGAAACGACGGAAGGGCAAACACACUUCGAUGAAGCUGGACACUUGCUCUGAUCGUAAAAUCGGGAGCUUAGGAGGUGGUACAUAUAGCUGAGAGAGUGGGAGAAGUGGGCCGCGGCGAUGGGCUGGGGAACUGAGGGUCCAGGUGUGGGGAAGCGCAGCAGUUAAUGAGGUCAUGAUGAGGAGCCGCAGAGCGAAACCAGAACAGUCAAUGGGCUUGAUCACAGUCCUGCACUUCAGCCCCCCCCCCCACCCCCACUGAUCCACGACACGAUUCCAUCAAGUCCCGGGUCUUCAAUUACGCUGGUGCGGCCAUAUUUUGAAAAUUCGCUCACGUUAAAGUAGUGUCAAGUGCAUUUCCGUAGGAAUGUGGACAUUCUGAGGUGGCUCUUUACUAAGGAACUAGAAGGAGUUGUUUAUGGUUGUUAGUUGCCGAUGUAGCAGUUGAACAGAUUAUCCGACUCCGGGUGGCCACCCCUAAAUCCUACUUGGCACAUAAUAAAAUCGCGCAAGGAAAUAGUUGGUGCGGAAGAAUUGCUGACUCGGCACGGCUCAGAACAAUUUGAGCUCAAUUCAGUAAUGUUUAAAUUGCCUUGGGAAAUCUAAGUCAUUAAUCCUGUAUUUUUUGGAGGUUGUCAUGCAACGUCUUCGUUGAGAUACAAGUCACUACAGCACCCAUUCCCAAGAAACAAAAAUCAAACCUGGCAGGAUCAGUAAGUGAACUUUUAGUGUGCCAGUUGGCGUUUACCAUUUUAUAUCAUUCAUUUUUCCAUACUACAUGAAGUUAAUUUUCUUUACUUUCAUUUCCUCCUUUCGGUUCCCUUUUUCUUAACUUGGUGGGUGAUGUUUUACUACACGAAGAUACCUACAGAAUGGCUGCAGACCUCUACAGCGAUGAGUUCCGUUCCUCUUUGAGCACAUUUUUCAUCUGUAUCAACUUACAUAUCCCGGCAGAAAUUGAACGAUCUCCUGAUAAAGUACCUGGCAGGAGGCUGCAAAUUGUGGUAGAGAAGACUCGCUCAAUAGCGUUACUGGGGUUUUUUAAGCUUUUAAAUCUUCUUUUGUGGACAAUGUUAGGUCCAUUGCAUAAGUUCGGCCCAUACGGUAGUCUGCCAGGCAAACACAGGUUAUUAAGUGAUCAGCUCACAUGAGCCAGCAGUGAUGACGUGUGUCUUGAACUGACAAUCUGAUGUACAGAGAACUAAUUAAUCCGCCUGCUACAACCACCUUCUUGUUCUUAAUGAACGCACUACAUACUGCAGCACCGCAAGUUAGCAGCUGUAUUGCCGCGAGUUGGUUUUCCAUGUGUUCAGAUAUGGUUUUCAUUACCAUGGAUUUUUCACCUUCACCACAUUAAGCUAAUUUAAGCUGAGAUAUUUUUCAUAACUCGGGACUUGGUAGCUCAGAUGUUAACAAUUGCUCGAAAAUGUGCAGAAGUUGAGACAUGAGCCAAAAUUCCUCAACCUAAACUUAUUAAAAAUCAGGUAAAAUCUUUAUAAUUAACCAUUGUAAACAUGAUUAGGGAGGGUGUGGAGAAAUUUGGGUUCCUUCCUGCCAGCUUCCACCUUCAGUAACACAAAAUCCAAAAUGUUUGAAGGUUCUGCAACUUCAAAAAUCUGCAGUGAUGAAUCUUUCCACAGGAGUGGAUCUUGAAAAGCCAUUAUUGGAUUUACUUCUGAUACUAACUAGAUGUAAGAAGCUCUUUAAUUACCCUUUGUCUCCCCCUGUAAUAUGAGAGAUCCAAAUGUGAAACAUCUCACAUGAGUGACACGUCUGCCAUGGAUUGAAUACAGUGGAAUUACAUCACUGUUCCAGAAACUACAACCAAGAUGUUUUUGGUUCUUUAUCUCAUGGCUACAAAUACUUCAUGAGCCUGUCAAACAGGUCUUCCAUCAUGUCAUCAGACAGGCACAUCAAACAACAAUUAGACUCAGAAAUAUUAGGAGUAUGUGAAGAGCAUUCUUGAGUGUAAACAUUGACUUUAAAUCUAUAGAUUACAACUUUAUGAUAAAUCUGGCAGAGUAAAAAUGAGAUAACUACAUUCUGAAGCAAUUGAUUGAAGUAAUUGUCUGCAGCAAUUGCCUCUGUACAUCACUUUUGAAUAGCAUGCUUAAGCUUACUAAUGAAUGAGGUAUGUGCCUCAUGUAAACUUCAUGAAUAAUUGAGAGAACCUACCCACAAGAAAACUUCGAAUUAAGAUCGGCUCUCUGAUUCCUACAACCAACCUUCUAAACUGAAUUCCAAUGCAUUGCAGCAGCUCAUCACAAUACUGUCCAUCAUUUCAGCAUCACAUAUAGAUUUUCUUGCAUUCUACCACUCCUGUCAAGCUUCGACAGAAUGGACAAAUUAAUGUACACAAUGUGAUCCGGAUGUUAACUCCUAACUCUGUAUUCACUCUUGGAACAUAAAGCGAAUUCUUAGGCAUCCUUUGAAAACAAUCUAGGCACAUAGUAUGGCCGCAUGAUUGCUGCAGUACUGGAGGACUCUCUACAGUACUUUGAUCUAAAUGCACACAGCAGACAUAUAUGGAGUGAAAGUUGUAUGCAUCAUCUAGCUCCCACUCCUGAACCAGCUCAGAAAAUUUAAGCAUCAGAUCCCACACAGGCAACCAAUAUUACUCAAGGUCACAUCAAGACUUGGACAAUACAAAAACAAAACAAGCAAGAUUGAGGUUACAUGUACUACUUCUGCAUCCAAGAAGAUGAUGAAAAUUUGAAAAAGGACAUGACAACAUAAACACAGCAAUGGCCUAACCUGUACCUUGGAGGAUAUGCCCAGCAGAACGAGAAGUGCCAUGGAGCCAGCUGAAACAACGGCGUGUAAAGCACUUUGAAAUCGAUGAUUUAAAAGGUACUCCCUCUUGAAUUUUUCGCAGGUAGAUUGUAGCUGCUGGUGCAUAUCGAAAUAGGUUUUGUAAGGAGAAUUUCCACCUCGUUUAUUCCAGAGGAGACUAGCCAUCAUUCUAUUUACGUUAGUCCUCUGUAUGUGCUGAUUGCCAUAAUUAGGAAAUUUGGAUUUCACAUAAUCGUGCUCGGCAAUAUAAGAAGAAACGAAGGAUUUCCCAUAUUCAACAGCCACGUUAAGCCCUUUGGUCUUAUGAAGAUGAUGAAACUUUAGUUCACGCAAUUCAAACUCCAAUGAAGAUGCCUGGAAAAAUUCCAGCACAGAAGUUAACCCACCGAGAAACUAGUAAAUGAAGACCUAUUCAACUCAACCCUAAAGAAAAGAGAAUGAAGACCUUUCACUUGAGCUAGACCUAUCCGGGUAUAAUAGCACUAGAAAGGAUAUCCUUGCAGCGUACCCUGGCAUCCAAUUUGAGUCGAUUCGCAUCACACCAAUCCAAUGCAGGGUCUACAUUCAUCUCACGAAGUUGCUUCAAAUACUGCCACAUGUCGGACACGGGAGCGUGCAACGCUGCAGCAACACCCAAUUCUAUUUGAGCCUCCAUCACGAAGACAUCGCAAAAACCGAGAUCCUCCGCUCGAUAGAAAUGAUCGCAUAUGAGCUGAUUGAUCAAGUUGCUAUCGAAUUCAACAUUUACGUACGCCUUCAUAAUGUCCCGUGCGAAGACAUUGUUCAGUGAUUCGUUCCAUCGCUUCAGGGGUAUGUCGAUACGUCUUCGACUUGUCUUAUGAAUUUCUUCGACAUACUGUGAAUUAUAAAGUGUCAGGGAUCUCUACAUUCAAAUGUGAAUGCAGAGAGAGGAGAGACAAUUGGCUAUCCAUUCCCAAAAAGUCAAAGAGAACAAUUACCUGGCUUGUUAGACCAACUUCAGUCAAUUUUCGUCCAAGGUUUUGGAAUAAUUCUUUGCCAAAUUCAGAGAAGUCAUCCUCAUUCAACAUUGCAAGCCAUCCUGCAGCUGCAUUCGCCUCCUCUAGUGCUCUUUCGAUCACACCUUGUCUCAGUUUUAGGAAAUAGGAAUUGCGCAGAAAAACUACUUGAUCAAUUGCGUGUCGAAUGGGGGUCAAAUCCAUCUUGUCGACUUGGAUCAGAAAGCAGAUAGUUAUGUCAAGGAUCUCGGGUCACCUCAAGAACUCCCUGAUGCUUUUGCAAUCCACAAAGCAACAAAGCUCCACUUGACCAUCUUCCAAAUCCUGUCAAAUGGAAGGAAACUUCGGGUACACACGCGCGCGCCCAACUGAACUUCGACAGAAGCAGAAACCAAUAUUUAAAAUGACACGCCCUUCAAUCGAAAAAUUCAACGCUAAGCAAAGAAAAUCAGUAUAUGAAGAAAGUUGCCUUACAACCCAACGCGGAACUAGGACAUCGCAGUGGCGCCUCACAUUUGAAACUCCUCAGGCUCAUUGGAGAUUCUCAGGUGCAUCGAAAGUCAUGGAUCCAGUACUCUCCACUGCUUCCUGGGACUCCUACUUCCUAGCACGAACUCUGCCUCUACAACUUUAAUAUUAACAACGACGACGCUCCUCGCACACAAACCUCCACCACGAUUCAAAAAGGAUGCCUAGAUCUGAAAUCCACCACCCCCACAACGAUGCAUCGGCAGAAACAAUCGUCUCCGCUACUCCCGAGGUGGAAGAUUGUUGCGACGAGCCAAAAUCGAAGCAAAUGCUUAGCAGCCUCCCUUCGUAGGCGACAUCUUCAGCUUCGCCGCGGCCGUUGAUUCAUUGAGAGACUUUUACUCGUGACCGUUUAAUUAUGAAGGAGACGCUGAGUAGCUGCAACUUUUUAAGUCUUCUAGUAGUUGGAAUUGAGAAGCUUGUAUUAAGAUAAAUAAAAGAUGUGAUCUCUCACUUUGUCACUCCAUCAAAGAUUUUUGUUGCAAAAUUAAUGAUAAAAUGAACAAAAACCUUCAAAUCCUCGAACUUGUGUGAAUUAGUUUUGAUGAUAUGCACAGAAAUGAGUUAAGUGGAGAAUGGAUCAUUUUUAUAUGGAUUUUUCAGUUAUCACCAUGAAGUGUUAAAGAUUUAAUUUUUUAAAUGUACUGAUGAUAUAAGUUUAUUUGAUAAAAAAAAAUCUUAGAAAUACAACGAGUUAAAACAAUUUGAGAUUGUUCUAAACUUUACUUGUAGUCUUAAAAUCAAUGGAUAAAAUUUCAUGAGAUGUGUAUUUGAUUUCUUAUAAGACCAGUGAAUAUAAUGAGAAACAUAAACUUGGUGUUUUUGACAAAAUAAUUUGCUCAUACAUCUGUAAGAACUUAUAAUCAAAUUACACAUUUAAGAAAUGUUUGUACUUUUCUUUGAAAAUAAAACAAUAGUAAGACUUCUUGUAACAUCUUAAGAUUGAUUUAGAAGGUUAUAGCAUCAAAGAAAAACACAACGUGAUAUGUUGAAUGUAAAGUGAUGCACUAAUUUAAAUAACAAAAAAAUAAAUGAUCCAUUAUACAAGCUUUUACGAAGUCUAUUGUAUGUUUUAUAAAUGUUGCAACAAGAAAUCGUGAUUAAUUAUUUUAGGAGUCAGGUUUUUAUCAUAACCAAUAUUAUUUGCUUUUAUCAAACAACUUUAAAACAUUUAGACUUAUGUUUUCUCAUCAGAUUAAACCUUUAACCAGCCACAAUAUUAAAUGCCACAUUUAGUCUGUUGAUUUAGGGAUGAUGUGUUAGGAUUUUUCAAAGAAUACAAAACACUUAAGACUAAACAAAUGAAAAAUUCACAUUAAAGAUAUCAUUAAAAGGUAGAAAACAAAGGCAUGUGAAAAGUGGGAAGGCAAUUUUGAGUACCUCACUACAUCUUCACAUAUUGAUUUUAUCCAUCUAGAAUACCAUUUUGGGUUUUUCCUAAUCCGUAGCUUGCUCGCUAUUCAUGGCUAUAGAUAGGUAGGGGACUCAACAAAACCUAGAUUAAUAUAAAUAAUUUGAGAGUAUAAUUUAGGGAAUGGUUAAAUUGACCCAAGUAUUUAUUAAAUUUACCACCACCAGAUCCGCAUUAAUAAAAAAACUAAUGAAAAAAAUGGUUUGAUCCUUAACCAAUGAUGAUGGGUGGAUUGAUUUAGUAAAUGCCUUGAUCAAUUUAACAAUUCCCAUAAUUUUAAGUCAUCCAUUGGAAAGGCUAAGGCUGGUCCUUAUUGGCUAAUAAUUUUGGAAGGUGUAGACAUGUCUCUAGUUCAUAUCCGGUGACAUGCAUGGUAUACUAAUUAUAUAAUUAUAUAACUAUACUUAUAUUUUGACCCCGCUUCUCAGUAUUUAAGCGCUUCUUCCUAACACUUCUCCAUAAUACUUUGUCUUAACCCUCCCAGGCUCUCUUGCCAAGGCCUCCUUGGCUUCUGCUCUCCUGGCCCUUAAAUUCCAAAUUUUGCAGAUAAUUGGAAUGGAAAAACCCAUUAAAAAAAUGGUUAAAAUUGCCCAAAAUUCAUUCAUGAAUUAUCAUCCAUUAAAUACAAUAGUGAAGCUCAGCACCUAAUCCCCUGCGGCAGGAGGAAGGUUGCAACUAGAAGUCCCGUUGAGUCAUUUGGUGUGAAUAGGUCGAUUCUGGAGUGUGUUUUUAGGGUUUAGUGAGUGAUUCUGGUAGAUGUAUUCACUUUCGUAGCUAUCAGCACACAGUUCCCAGCUGUGUAGAUCUCGUCUUGGGUUUGUGAAUCAAAGCUCGAGAUCCGUUGUUCAUGCUGCAACCUAAGGAUUGGAGUUGUCGUUCGAGUCUCGAACUGUAGCGAUACUUGUUUGGGGUGAAGAUUGCGCUUCCCCUGGACGGAGAUGAGUGAUUCAACCACUGGCAGCAAGGAGGUGGAGGAUGAGUGGACAGUCGUUCGAGGUCGCAAGAAGCGGCAGCAUACGAAACGAUCCUCGAGCAGAAACGCAGACGAUGGGCACCUGUCUUGUUGCCGCGGGCACGGGCCGGACUUAGACCUAAGCUCCGGGAAAGCUGUUGCAGAACAGAAACUGCGGGAGAAGUUUGCCAGUUCCAGGGAACGAGUGCGGAGUUCUGCGUUUUUCAAAAACUUAGUGGAGCAGAUGGAACGCUUGCAAAUUCUCGAAACGUUGCUGGCGAAUGGGAGAAGAGCUGGCCACAAAGCGUGUGAAUCCCACCUCUCAGACGGUACUUGUUCUUAUCUCACCUCCAUCCCUUCUUGUUGCGCACUACAGGAUCUGUGUUGUAUUGCACAUCCGGGGAUUGAAAUUUGGGGUUUUUGUGGACACCUCAUGGAUUUUUGAAUUUGGCUUGUAGGGAGGUCGACAACGGAAAGCUUAGAGCAGAAGGAAAUUGAAAUUUUUACGUUGGAGGUAACGCCUGCAACAAAAUCAUCAUCUCUUGUUGAGGUGGUUGUUCUCGGCGUGGGGAGCUUGCUUGACAGUGAGGUGUCACGCUGUCAAAUGUCCCUCGCGCUUCUCUUGAAGGACCGUUUCUCUUGCAUUGGCAAUAUACUUGCCUAUGACCCGGUGCUGUCGGCUAUGGAGUGCGCGUUUUUGACAAACCUAGGUUGCACCCCGAUUGUGCAAGACGAUAAGGGCAGAAGGCGAGCAGACUCUCCCACACUGUUUUACAUGCCGCAUUGCGGUGCUUCCCUCUAUAACAGUGUCUUGGAGGCGAAUGUGGAGCCAUGGUGCGUCGGGUGGAUCUCCAUCCUUGGCAACAGCUUUCAGAAGUACCAGGAUAGCUGGUCAGUGUUUCCGAAACCCAAGCACGCUAGGCCUGAUUGUUUGCUUGGGCUGCAAGAGCAUGUAACCGAGCAUUCUGUGAACGCUGCGUCGUUUCCCUGCGUAUCAGCUUUCAAUGACAUGAGUUGGCAUCUGUUUCCAGUUGACAAAAUUUUGUGAGGCCAAUACUUUGCAUAUGAUUUUGGCUGAGAUCACUAAUUCCUGCUAAUUUUCGUUGAUCUUCUGUUUUUGUCAUCGUCGAUGCCUGCCCAGUCGUUUCGUUUUACAAUGUAUUUUGCGAUAGUGGAUAGCAAAUUUUUCAUCCAUCUAACUGGUACUAGAAUUUGCCUUCGAUUUUAGACAUGUUGCCUGCUAUUAAUCGACUUCAAGCUAUGAGGUCAAUUUCAGUGUCCGACAGUUCAUUCCAGACGUCGGCAGGUAACAGUCACACAUUGUACUAAUUGCACAUUAGACAUCAGCUUUCCACAAAAGUGUGGGAUAGAGUGGAAUAUCUCAAAAUCUUCCAGAUGAACGUCAACGCAUGGGAUAAUUCUUGUAACAGAACCUGAAUUGUUCAUCAUUCAUUGUUUUAAAUAGUAUUUCUGCUGCAUUGGGAUUGAAGGAACCGUGAUUCAGUAUUACUUUCUAAAUGAGUUAGCUAAGCAGAUGAGUGCAUAACAUACCGUAAAAUCAACCUCGGCAUGCAGCCCUAUUCUACUCCCAUAUCUUGCCGUUCAAUUUGGACGUCGGGCCAAUUAGGUGGCACACUUCAUCUUCGGUCCCGGCAGCAUAACCAUACAACGCUGUUGAGAGAAAACACUAUGUACACUAUGAGCGACAUCCAUGGCUGUGCUCAUGGUGACAGCGGUGCUGUGCAGUGGCAUGGUGGCGCCGGUUAAGAGAAAGCCGUGCCCAGUAUCAAGAAACUCAUCGGUCUCCUCAAUCGCAUCGCCCAUGGCCACAUCAAGAUCCCGUUGCGGCACCUCAUGUAUCGUUUGAAUUCAUCCAGCGAAAAGGUAUACGAAAGGGUUGCAAGCACUGUUGACUGGACUGCCUGUCCUCAGAAUCGUUUUGGCUGUAGUUGUUUACUCUUGAUUGGCAAUACGCAGGCUGCAUUGCAGAAUGACUCGAUCAUAAUCUUCAAGUCACCCUGCUUGAAUAUCACACUCCCUAUUAUACAAAUCUAUGUACGUGAUGCUGCCAAGAAUCGAAAGACUUCUGCCGUAGCGAUCACCUCCGAGGUCUCUCAUUUCUUCGAAGCCCUAGCCUUGUGGAUGCAUCUAAUUGUGGGUACUGCAGCUUUUCAAAAGGAGUCUACCUGGUUACACUGUGAUUCUGUACAGCUCCUUUGUUGUGACACGAAACUUACGAAUGAUCAAACCCAAUCCAAUUCCCAGCCCAACGCACAUACCUAUCCCAAUUCCGAAUCCCAAUUUGAUGCCCCUGGAAAUGCCUUUGUUGUACCAUGUUUCUUCCUGAUCCACCACGUCUGGAAGGUACAAACUACUGUCGAGCGUGAGCAUUUUGCUCACGUAAUCUCCAGCUGCCAACUCCUUCUGACUAUCGGCCUGACUCCUGGACAUGCCGAAGAAAGACUCACCACCCUACCAUCCCCCGAAAUACCUCCCACGUCAGCUUUACACUCUCUUCAAAUUAAGUGGUCUAAAGGCUAUGGAUCAAAUUGGUGAUACGGAUCCACGAAUGGAAACACAAUACAAUAAAGCUAAUCAAGUGAAGGUAGGAAGGGAUUGAGAAGCUCACCUCGUCCAGGAAAUCGUUCGAGACCAUCGCCGUUGCGUACAUUUGGCAACUUUCUUUAUCAUCUUCGUUGUCCUCGGGGAUAGCAUUGAGGGUGCAGAAAGAGGCGGAUCGUCGCUUGACAGUAAGCAUCAAGGUCUGCGUCAAGAUUACAGGCUCACUCUUAAACCUCCCCACUACACAAAUUUCCAUGGCUGUGUUGGUGUUGGGAAAGUUUAUGCACAGGCCGUGCUUGAAGAGCUCAUACUUCGCCUUGACGAAGGCGCAUCCUAGCGAUCCAAUCUCACAAGUGGUGGCCAUGAUCCAUCCCAGAUCAUUCCUCGUGGGUACAGCCGGUGUCGCAGCAGCUGGCCUUGGGGAAUACGCUAGCUUUUCCAGAAUGCCGGAGACGAGAAGUGUGUCUUGAUCCAGGAUUUGAAAGUGAAGCGUGGAGCUCAUGCGGAGGUUGUCUGUGCUGACAUACAUGAAAGCGUCCGCCGUCUCGGAUUCGAUGCGGUUUCGACGGAGGACAAGGGAGACCUCCUCCGAUGGGGGAAUGCGCCCGCCAUUGACCUCCAUGCAGGUGGCGAUUUCCCGUGGGGGAAAGUGUACGUUUAGAACCUCAGGAAGUGUGCAAUCUCCUGUCAGCUGGCAGUUGGUGACGCGGACGUAGAGCAAGCUCGCGUCGAACCAGAAGUCUGCUUGCGCCGCUACAGAUGAUUUGAACGAGAGGUUGUUGCUGCUCUGCGAAAACGCCCACCGGGAACUGGCCAUGAUUUUGUUUACAACUCCAAACGAAAUUCCCCGGAUCGAUUCUGCUACGCAAGAAUGACACCUCUCGUCUUAAUUAUGGAACCAGCUAUAUACCACGUGAAGACGACCGAUUCCAGCAAUAGGGACAUUUCUGGUUUCUCCAGAGCUGUAUCACAAAUCAAGCCACACAGUCAUCUGGCUAAGUCACAAUCUCUGUCAGCUCGCAAGGAUGUGACAUCACUUCCAAUGCUCUCCCCACCGUUACGAUGGUUUUGAGGCUGACUUACGGAGGUUGCAUUGCGCAUGUAGAAAUCACUUGGCUACAAAACGACUGGUGUUUUGCGGCGUCCAGCGAGUUAUCAGACAAGGCUUCGACACAGGCUUCAAAUAAGGUCGAUCUCUAGCAUGAAGAUCUGCUCAAAGAGCAGCCGAACAGAGUUUCCCAGUAAUUUGCGAAAAUGUCAUCGCAGUACAUCCAACUGAAAAGAUUGGUCGGAUCGCUGGAGGUUGAGCCUCAAGAACCACCAGAAAGAGUCUGACCCUCUACCAAGUUCCACAAAAAUUUAUGUGCAGACAGUCGGUCUACCUGAGGAUGGUCGGAACCGGCAUUUCAUAACACAAUCAAGCUUCAGAACCUCUUUCAGCUCCAUGCAUGCACAUCAACUCCCACCAGAUCAACACAUGAUCACAAGCAACCAAAACCAGAGACACCACCACCCCCGACUCUGGAGAGAUGCGCGGUCGAUGGUCACGAACCACUAAACGAAUCCACUAAACCCACGAAGUUGAAUCAAGGUAAUCAACCAAAAAAACGCGCUCGCUCCUCCAACUGAUCCACAAAAAUGUAAGGAGAAAAAAACGAAACCCUGAUAAGCUCUAGAUCAACUACCAACCGCCAUGCACUUGAAUUCUGAAACCCACUCUGUAUAUGUAUACAUCUCUAGCUCUCCCCUCUCUCCCUCUCUCUCGCUCUGGGAAUACGCGCGCGCGAGUACAAGAGCGUCUCACAGUGCAUGUGUACUUUUCUCUUAAAAGUUCGGGAAGGACACCAGCUGCGCGGAUGAAAAGCAGCAGUUUCAAGCGAUAGUGGCCGCCAUGUGGGAAGGGAAGCUUUGUUCGUGAUGAUUCUGAUGGGGGAAGGGAGCAUUUUGUCCAAGGCAGCUGGUAAUUUGUUGGUAAGUUUCUUUCUUAAUCGAGAUCCAGGCUCGUCGUCAUAGGACUAGCGGCAGUGGAAACUGCCUGUUCAAUUCAUCACCCUUCGAGCACUUGGCGGCCAGGCCAAGUGGCAGAACCCACCUCCCUCCUUGUGACGCACUACACUCCCUCCUGUCGCGUUUCGGUGAAUCCAAGGCGACGCAGAAGAAGUAAGGAACCCGCGAACAAAAUUCGAACGACGCCAUCACUGCCCUCCACUCUCGCUUGGAACACUAUCGCUUAUAUAUAUAUAUAUAUAUAUAUAUAUAUAUAAGAAAAACAACAACGGCAACAUCAACAUCAACUACUUAACAACUUGGACGAUGUCUGCAUUUUCGAGCCUCCAAAAACUCGGUCCUCGUGAACGAUUUAAAUGGCCUCGGUUGUAUCGACAACGUGGGCGAUUGUCGAUAGAGGCCCAGAAUGUUCUUGUGCCUGUUGUUUAAGCAUUUUGCAAAUCUGCAUGGAUUCUUGUGGGUUUCGAGCAAUUGGGGAUGUUAUUUUAUUUUAUUUUAUUUUAUCACGAGACACAUCACCCUGUUGCUUGGUCAUGUGGAGUGGGUCUGUAGGGUCAAUUGAAGUUGGUGGGGUGGUUAAAUAAUGGUUUUAAUAGAGGUUUUAAAUGUGCAUUGUUCACUUGGACUUGAUGGGAGCUUUGAAAAUAUAAAAAAUAUAAAAGUGUAUGAACCUCAACAAAUACAAUUCCCAUAGAUCUAGACUUUCUUCAUUAAUGCAGUAAUGUAUGUGAACUAUUUAUUGGCAAAGUCAUAACAGAGUUAAACUCUUGUAGAUGAUGAAAUAAAUAUAUAUUCCAGGAAUUUUUUGAUUUUUUGAACCAGUUUUGUGUUUUUGCCAUUAACAUAAGGACAAAAAAAUACUUGCCUUCUGUGUGUGGAGAAUGUGAUACUUUAUGUAAUUUUUUCUUUUUUCAUUUUUUUUUUUUUUACUUGUAGCAUCUUUGAUUGAAAGGAGCAUGUAUCAAUUGUUUGUUGGGUGAGAAAAUGAUGAAAUUGACACCCACCUUACUUUCAUUGCACGUCCAAAGGAUGGAAUCAAUGAUGUAUCGUUGUUUAUUUAUUUAUUUUACUUAUACAUUUUUUUUGUUCACUAAUGAAAAUUAAUAAGAUGGCUUUAAUUGUCAAUACUAAAUUAUGAUAGUUUUUUAUAAUUGUUUUUGUUAAUCACUGAUACUAUCAUCACUUUUAAUUGUAAUAGUGUAAUAUAUUAAUAAACCCACACACAUUACACAUGUAAAGUUAGCAUACAAUUAAAAAAAUACUCGUUUUUUAUUUAAAAGUUACAAAAUAAAAUUUAUUUUUAUUAUUACUUGCUAACUAAUAUGAAAUUAGGCAUACAAUUUUACUUGAAUUCAAAGUAAAAUUCAAAAGAAUAAAUUUUUAGUAUUUUUAAGACAUUAUGAAUUUUUUUAGAUCCUCAUAAAACUUUCCAAAAGAUUUUAAUACAGAAAAUCAACACAAAACUAGUUAAACUAUUUUCAUAGAAUAUACUUUUAAAAACAAUUAUUUAAAUUAUUAGGUUACCAAAAUUUUAAUAGAAAAUCAAUUUCGUGUCACAAGCCUGAUAUAUUUUAAUAACAAAAUUUUAAUCUUCUAAAUAGUAUUAUUGUUAACAAAAAUAUAGAAAUUUGUGCCUUACUUGUCAUUAAUAUAAACUUCUAAAACUAUUUUUACUGUUGUACAAACUUCAUAAAUUCUAUAAAUAAAACAUUUGGGAAUAAAAUCAAGUUAAAAGAUUCUUAGAAAAAUCAUUUCAAGAACUAUAUUGACAAGUUUUUUUAAAAGUUUUUUCUACAAGUUUAGAUGUCCAAAUGUUAGAAGCUUAGACCACAGUUCAUUAGUCUUACAAGUAGAAAAUAUAAGAACAAAAUUAAAAUUAACUUUAGUUCUAAUAAUACCUCUGUUAAAUCUGGUUUUUAACUAUUUUAUAAGAUUUUCGUCAUUAUUUUCACAAUAUUAUAAAAAUCUUGGUAAUGACUGGUUUGUUACUAAAAUCUAAUCUAAUCAUAUUUUCGUUUUUUUACUUGGAUUUUCUCUCUAUUAAUUACUACAUUUGUCACUUUUGUAUUGUCAAGUCUUUAAAGAACUCUCUAAAGAAUACCAAUGAUAUUUUAUUUUAUACUUUAGUUCAUAUUUUUAUUUAUUUAUUUAUUUCUAAAACUGAUAAAAAUUUCAAAAUCACUUCCUACUUCUUUGGUAUAAAUUAAUUAUUGAUAUUUUGUGUAAAAGAAUGCUUUUAACAUUAUAUGAUUAAAUGACCUUAUACAUAUUGGCAUUGUUAUGACCACAUGAUUUAUCAACCCUUUUAAUCUAGUUCCAAUUAUAUUGCAUAAAAUAUGAAAUAAAUUUUUUUGCUUAAAUAAAUUAUUUCAAAUCAAAUAAAAAUACUUCUUAAAAGAUAAUCACAAAUAAGAAAAAUAAGAAAAAUAAGAAAAAUAAGAAAAAUAUUACAAAUUUUCAACAAGAAUAUAAUAGAAAAAAUAAUUUAUUCAUGAUAUAUUUUUAAAAUAUAUAUAUAUAUAUAUAUAUAUAUAUAUAUAUAUAAAGAAUAUUUUUGUACCAUGUAUGUAAUAAAAUUUGUAACAUACAGUGAAAUAAAUUAAUAAAUUAAAUUAUUUUACACAAUAAAUAUACUAAAAAGUGAAUAUUAAAAUAUAAGGCAUACUAAGUUACAAAUGAACUAAAAGUAUUUUAUUUAAAAAAUUAUUAUAUACUACAGUAUUAAAAUAAUAAUUAUAAGUAUUAUAAUUUUAAUUAUAAAAUAUUAGAAACAUAAUAUCUUAAAGUAUUGAAUAGAAAUUUAUUAUACUAUAUAUAUAUAUAUAUAUAUACACACAUAUAUAUAUAGAUAAAAGAGUUAUGAUAUUAAUAAUUUUUAAAGAAAUAUUUUGCAUUUAAAAAAAAAUUAAAAAAGUGAUUUGGAUAAAUAUUGAUGUUUUCAAUUUUUUUAAAAAAAUUUAAUCUAUAAAAUGAAAAUAAAUCUUAUUAACAUAAAAAUCACAUACACAUACACCAUACUUGGCAGGCAAUUAAAGUUCAUUUUUAUCAAAACAAAGUUUUCUAGCAUUUUUGUGGCAAUGCAACAUUUUCAAAUGAAUGAUACUGUAAUUCUAAUCAAAAUUUACAAUUAAAAUCAAUGGAACAUAAAGAGAUGUUAUAUCUAAAUUAUCAAUUCUAUCAUAUUAACAAUGUCAUGUAAUUAGGGACAAAAUAUCACCAUACAAUUGCCACUUCGACAAUAGAAUUGUUAAAUAUAAUUAUUCAAUGAGUAAUGGACAUAUAUAUACACACAGACAUUCACCAAAAGUCAAAAUCUCUUACUGUAAACACAACUAUAGAUUAGCUAAUUAUCAAAAAAUUAUAAAUUAGGAUGAAUAAAUAGAUUAAGAAGAAUUAGGAUUUCUACUGAUAUUCUAAAGCUGUUAUAAGACAUUAUAAAAGAAAUAAAGCAAAACACCAAAUAUGACUAGUCUUAUAAAUAUAAAUCAAUGCAUAAUAUCACAUUCAUUAUAUUGAUUUCAAUGCAUAAUACUGCAUUCAUUGCAUUGAUUUAAAUUAUCUUAUAAUAUUUAAUACUAUUAUUUUAUAAAAAUUAGAAUUAUAAUUAAUCUAAAAUAAUUUAUUGUCUAUUUUAUUAAUUAUUAUUAUUAUUUUUAGAAAUAAAAUAUAUAAAACCGAAUUUUUAUGAAUAAAUCAAAUAAUAUUAACAUCAAAUACUUUAACAUAUACUUGAAAUUAUUUUUAAACAUUACCUCUAAAAAAGAUAAUUAUAAAAUGAAAUUCUAUUUUAUAUGGAUUAUUGUUAAUUAAUAUUUUGUACAAUUAUGACAUAUAUGUAUAUAUGUAUGUAGACAUAUAUAUUUAUAUAAAUUUUAAUUCUUCCAUUUUUUUAUUAUCAUUUGUAAAGCUAAAAAUUAUUUAAUAAUAAAAUUUAAUAGAAUAUAUAUAUUUUUUGCAUUUAGAAAUCACAAAUUAAUAAUAAAUAAAUAAUAAAAAUAAAUUAUUUUACUUCCAAAAAAUAAUAUAUUUUUAAAAUUAAUAUAUCUUGAUAUUAAAGCUAUCAUAAAAGUUACUUUUAAUAUACUAAAAUAUAUAUAUAAAUUUAUAUAUAUAUAUAUAUAUAUAUGUGAGUAAAUCUAAACAAUGAGAUUUUUUAAUAUUAGUUAAGAAUAUUAUUUGUCUUAUUUCAAAAUAUAAUUGACAUCAAGGGUCUCAUGAAAUCCAUCCUCACUCAUAUGAAUGGCUUUAAAAUAAGAAUUGACAUUAGUACGCACAAUGUGACAUUCUAGUCAUAAUUAUAUUUUACUUAGCAUAUUAAGCAUUAACAAAUGAAAUAGAUCACAUCACUGACCAUACAAAUCUAGUAGUACAUUUUUUGAAGCUACUUGAAAGUGCUUCAUAUUGCAAAGUGCUCUAACAUUCAUGCCACAUGAAAUAAUUCUAGAAACUAAAUAAAGUCAGGGACUUUGGAUACAAAACCUCUUUGAAAUUGUCUUUUUGUAGAAGAAGACACUAUCUCUUAAGUGUCUUCUUCUACAAAAUAAGAUAUUCAAAAACUUUAAAAUUAUCUUUUUGUAGUAGAAUAAGGUAUUCAAAAAAAUAGUAUUUUAUUCUUUUGGUGAGAAUUUUGUCCAAGUAAUUGAGGUAGUCUAGUAAGUCUCCAUGAGUAAAUCAAAUAAUGCUGCCUUGAUGAUAGAUAUUCAUGUUAUUUUUGAGUGGCUUACUUUGCUCAAGGGCCAGAUUAAUAAUGUCUGCGUAUGUAAACACCAACUAUCUCAAUAAUAAAACUUAUUAUGGUUUGGUCAUGACCUCGAUAAUUUCUAGAAGUCAGAUGCAGGUAUAAUUUUUGUAUGAAGAUGUUAUAUUUUUUAAUAAUUUUAAUUUACAUAUAACAAUAUAUAUAUUUAAGAAUCUUUAGAAUUAUAAUCUACAAGUUGUAACUAAGAUAUAUAAUAGCUUAGUAUAUUAAGAUAAAGAAUGAUAUCUUCCUUGGUAUUGUCACAAAUAUACAUAGAUACUCUAAUAAAUACCUAUAUGAUUAGAUAGAAGUAGAUAAAAAUAAAUAAAAGUAGGUUAAUUUUAUAAUACCUUUUAGAGAGGCUUCUUAGAAGCUUCAUAGAUGUUGCUUUGACUUUACAUAUGUUUGUAAUUGAUUGAUAGGUUAGAAACUUGGUCAAUAAAUUAACCAUGUAUUGGUAGCUUAUAGAAUAAGCUAAUUAUGUGGCAUAUAUAUAUAGAAAACUUGCCUUGCAAGUUAAGAUACAUGUCUUGCAAAGUCAACAUAUUUUGGAGGUCCUAUAGGACAUUGCCAUGUAGCUCCUAAUUAAGAGAAUAUAUGGAGGCAAGAGUGAAGCCUUCUUCACUCUUGUCAAUGCCUUUCUAGUCUUUAGUCUUAUUUUAAGACUUUCUAGUCUUCUUAUUUUUAGCAAUAUCUAUUCUAGUUUAAUACUAUAUCAUCUUUGAGUGACUUUCUAUUUCCUUUCAAUGAAACAAGAGUGUAUUGAGGAUUUUCUUUCUCCAAGUUUCAUGUCCUUGAUAUGUACUCUUUCUUAUCCUCCUCUUCUUCAUUCUCCUUCCUUCUUCCACCUUCCAUGAAUGUUGUGCAAUUUGCAAUGGAAGAUUGAAGAGCCAUGGUUCAUUAAUUAUGAAGUUAGUUAUAAAGUAUUAAAGUUGACAGACGGAGUUAAGAUUUUUGAAGGUUGCAUAAGGUUUGGAUACUAUAAAUUUUGUUCAUAUCAAAGCUUUAAUAUUGGUAUAUAGAUAACCAGAUUUAUAAACUAUAGUACAAUUGUAUAAUUGUAAGAUCAUGAUCUAUUGAGCUACAUGCUUUAAUAAGCCAUGUAAAAGCAUGAGAUCUUAUAAAGAAACAAUGUUGAUCUUAAUGAUAAAUUGUGAGUCAUAAAAAUAUAGUUGAAAGUACUUGAUGGCAAAGGUAAUAGCAAGGCUUUUUUUAUUGUUGAUUCCAUGAUUUUUUUUGAAUUUCAAAAGAAGUUAGAAGAUAGAUACAAGUACUCAUUCUUUGCAAUCAAUGGUUUGGAUAAGAAUAAUUUCUAGACCAUUUCAAUUAAUAUCAAUUUGUAGGAUAAAAGAUUGAUAAAAAUGUAGAUAGAUGAAAAAAGAGAUAGUGCAUAAGUAGGCCUUGAUUUUAUCAAAAAUAUCUUAUUUGACAUGGUAUCAAGGAUAAGAACUUGAUGAAAAUAAAUAAACAAGUAAAACUUUUUUAAAGAAGUAUAACAAAAUAGAAAUUAGGAAGCAUGUGUAUUAAAAAAAAAUUAGAAUGACUAUUGCCAAAAGACAAGAAAAUUAGGAGCUUCUUAAAAUUAGACUAAAAAUAAGAAAAGAAUUGAUAAGUAUGAAAAAAGAUUUAUUCUUGCCUCUAUAUAUACUAUCUAUCUAAAAGCUAUUUGGUGACAUUCUAUAAGACCUCUAAAAUGUGUUGAUUUUGCAUAACACAUAUCUUAACUUGUAGGAUAAAUUUUCUAUAUAUAUGCUAUAUAGUUAGCUUUUUUUACAAGCUAUGAAUAUGUGUGAUAUGUGGUUAACUUGUUGACUAAGUGUCUAACUUAUCAAUCAACUAUAAACACAAGUAAACUCAAAGCACUGUCUAUGGAGCUUCUAAGAAGCUUUUUUAGAAGAUAUAAUGAAAUUAAUUUAUUUUUAUUUACUUCUAUUUAUUUAUAUUAUCUAGUUAAUAAUUACAAUAAAUAUAUAUCCAUGACAUUAUUCUCCCCUUUAUAGAUGAAUUCCACAUGUCAAAACAAUCUAAAAAUGUGGUAAAUUAUAUUUUAUACAUACUCUAAUCUUUAAUCCUUUUGAAGAUAAUUGAUAGGUCUUAUCAACCAUUGAUAAUGUUCUAUUCUACAAUGAAAAGACUACCUUGUUAUUUUAUUAUUGCUGAAAUCUUCGUAACUUCCUUCAAAUAAAACAUUUGUAACAUCAUCACGAAUUGUUCCUACCUCUAAUAAAAUCACCAAAUAUCAAGACUUUCUUCUUCGGUUGUGAUAUCAAAUAUAUUGUAUCUUGUCAUUUAUUUAAGGAAGAACAUAUUGCUCUUGUAGAUCUUUAUGCCUACUACAUCAUUUUAAAGGUUGUAAUAAUUAUAAUAUCUCUUUUGAUAAGUCAAUAAAUGAUGAUUCUUGAAUUGAAUUUGUUGGCUAUUGGUUCUUCAUUUCUUUAAUGCCACAGUUAUAUAGAAAAAACAAACAAAGAUAGAAGGUAGAAUAUAAUCGUUUUUUAAAUUAUAUUUCUUUUAUAGUAAAGAUUUGCUAUCUUUCAUCUUAAUUUAGAUAGAUGUUGUUGAUAAAAAGUUUAGACUUUCUUUAUUAUAUUUGUAAGAAUUUUUGUUGGCUCUCAUAUAUAUUUGUUAAUAUUAUAUUUGUCCCAAUGAAUAAGAUAUUCCAACCUAAGUCAAUGCUGCCUUGAAUUUAAGACUUCUUUUACUUCAAAUUUUUAAUUAUUAUCUACUUCUCUAAGAGGCGGUGGUAUUUGUAUUUUUUGUAAGAUAUUCAUUUUCUUAUAUGGCUCCAAAAGAAAUAUGUAAAAUAGGAGAUGGAUUUUUAUAGACUUUGGUAGAUAUAAUCAAUAAAAAAUUGGAUUGAUUUAGUCACAAAUAGGAGAUGGUCCAAGUCUACAAUAAUCUAAUUUUGUUCAAAUAAAUGAUUUAUCAAAUCUUUUACUAUAUGAUUAUCAACUUUUAAAAAGUCAAAAGCAUCAAAUCGUGGAUAAUAAUCAUAAUUAAUAAAAAAGAUUUAUUACAUAGAAAAAUAUAUCAUAUUAUUAUAAACAAACUCUGCUAAUGAUAAAAGAGUUGUCCAAUCAUCUUGUUGAUAGUUGAUAGUUAAUAUUACUCCAAUAUUUGAGAUCAAAUAUUAUUCCAAAACUUAAUUUAUACACUUUCUUUAUCCAUUAAUUUGAAGAUAAAAAGCCAAAGGUAGUUUUAUAUCUAUUUUUAGAAUCUUAAAAAUUAUUUUUUAAAAUCUUUAUAUAAAAUAAAUUCUCCUAUUUAAUAAAAUAUCUUUAGAUAAUCCAUGAGAAUAAUAGAUAUUAUUAAAAAAAAGCUUAGUUAUUUCUUCACAUUUGAUAGAUUUUGUACAUGGUACAAAAUAUGCUAUCUUGGUGAAAUGAUCUACUAUCACAAGUAUAGAGGCAUAAGUACCUAAGACUAAAAGAUCUAUCAUAAAAUCUAUAGAAAUAGAAGAUUGUGGUUUUUCUAAAAUGGAUAAUGUCUAAAGAAGUCCAUAAGAUCAAUGGCAAGAAGUUUUUGAACUCAAACAAAAAUCACAAGAUUGUACAAAAUCUUUGACUACCUUCUACAUUUGGAAUCACUAAAAUUCUUUGAAAUAUUAAUUCCAAAGUCUUAUUUUAUUUAAAAUAUCCUAUUGUUAGAAAGUUAUGAGAAGCUUGAAGAAUACAUAAUUGAACUUCAUCUUCUAGAAUAUAUAAGAAUCCUUUCAAAAUAUAAUAAAUUAUUUUUAAAUUCAAACUUGAAAGUAUUAUGAAACUUUAAAGGAUUUUUCUUAAUAUCACAAAUAAGAAGAUUAGAAGACAUACUUGAUUGAACUUGCUUAAUAAAAGUUGAAUCAAUAAUUAGUGCUGAUUUCAUUAUUCAAAGAUAAAGAUGGUCUGGCUUUAAGAGAAUAAUUUCUUGUUGAUUAAAGGUAAGAUGAUUUAAAAAGAGUAUUUGAUAAAUCUUAUUAUUUUUUUAGUUGAUAAGUGAUCUUGAAUUUGAAUCUUGACAAAGACAUACUUUAGUGGGCUUGGCGAUAAUUCAAAAUAUAUGCUGAUAUAAAAUAUUUAAAGUUCUUAGGUUUUGCAUAUAUAGUGGCUGAACUAGGAGCGCGUUCUAGAUAAUAGUGCCAUUCUUGAAAUGAAUCUACAAUUGCAAAAAGUUUAUUAUUGUAGAUGUCAUAAUAGAUCUUGAUUGCUAAAAUAUUUUUGGAAUGAAAAGCUAGUGGGUGAAGUUUAUUAUUUAUUCCCAUUUAUAACAAUACAAUAUCUGAAACAAAGUUUGAUGCAUCUAUUUCUAUAAAGAAUAGCUUAUAAAAGUCAAUGAAACAUAAGAUUGAUGUAUAAAUAAAGGCUAUCUUCAAAGCUUUGAAUGUUGCUUUUGCUUCUUGAUUCUAUUGAAGUUUGUCUUUAUAAGACAAAAGUGCAAGUAGAGUUGCAACUUGAGAAAAGUUCUUUAUUAAGAUCCAAUAGUAACUCGCAAAUGUCAAAAAGUAUUAAACAUCUCUUAUCAUUUUUGAGAUCUUCCAAUCUAUAAUAGUUUGAAAGUUUUUAGAAUCCAUCAUGAGUCCAUUAUUUGAAAUGAUAUAUUCUAAAAAGUUGACUUGAAUAAUAUAAAAUAUAUACUUUUUUAUUUUAACAUGGAGUCUUGCAUCUCUUAAUUUUUGUAAUACAUGAAAAAUAUGAAAUUCAUAUUUUUUUGUGUUCUUAGAAUAGAUUAAAAUAUUUUCUAGAUAAAAAACAAUAAAAUUAUCCAAAACUCUUGAAAGACAUCAUUCAUUAGAUGUUGAAAAACUAUUGCUAUAUUUAUAAGUUUAAAAGGCAUGAUAUUAUAUUCAAAAUAUCUAUACUUGGUUCAAAAUACAAUCUUCCAUUCAUCUCUUUUUUUGAUGCAUAUUAGAUUGUAUGUCUCUUAUAGAUCUAUUUUUAUAUAGAUUUAAGCUUGAUUCAAUUGAUGAAAAAGUUUUAAUAUAAAAAAUAGUAAGUAUCUAUUAUUAAUAGUAAUCUUAUGAAGUUCUUGAUUAUCAAUACACAUCCACAAUAAUCUAUCUUUUAUCUUUACAAAUAAAAUUAGAGCUCUCACUUGAGAUUUAGAAUAGCAUAUAAAGUUUUUAGGAAGAUUCUUUUUAAUACAUUCUUUAAAUUCAAUCAAUUCAUUUUGUGAUAAAUUGUAGAUUGGUCGAAAUGGCAAUUAAACUCUUUCUUGAAGUUUCAUUGAGCAAUCAUAGGAACAAUGAUUCAAAAGAAUAUUUGUAUUUUUUUUUCAAAUAUAUCUUUAAAAGCUUGAUUUUAGCUAGGAAUGACAUUUGAAGACUUUCUACCAUUAAAAAUAAGUGUAGCAUAAAUGAUAUAAGGUCAUCUUUCUUUUGUAGCAUACAAGAAAGCACUUGCAUCUACAAAUAUAAAUUUGGUUAUGCUAGACUUAUGACUUUUUACCUAAUUAAUUACACUCUUAAUUAUACUUUCAAAAAAGUCAAGACUAUGAAAAAUCCAAUUUAUUCAAGGAUUUUACUUUUCUAACCACAAUAAAUCUAAAAUGAUUAGAUUAAAAAAAGAUCUAAUAAUAUUAAAUACCACAAAGCUAUUAUAACUAUUAGUUACUACUUUUAAAAGAAACAUUUAAUAGAUAACAUCUCCAGAAAAUAAUAAAUAAUUAUCUAUGAUUUUUACAUAAAUAAAUUUUAUUUUCUUUAUUAAAAAUGUGUUGAUGAUGUCUUAUUCUUUCAUACUUUCUUCAUAGCCUACUUGCCACAUUAGAUAUAUUUUAAUAAUAAUAUUGUAAGUAAUUAAAAUAUUUUUAUAAAGAUUAAUUAGACCUACAUUGAAAAUAUCAAGGUUGUUGUACAUGAAGUGAAUGACAUAGUGGUAUUGCUCUAUGAAAAUAUUGAUGUUUAGCUGCAUGUCUUAUAUGGUAGUAAGAAAUAUCUUGUGAUCUUUUUUUUUGUAUGAAUAUGGAUUUUAAUUUCAUGUUGAUCAAAAAAAGAGUUGCACAAGAUUGAUGUACCUCAUUUUAUGUAAUGUCCAUACUAUAGAUAUUUAAAAACUUGUUAAUAAUAUAUAUAAAAAAAUAAACAAUGAAAUAGACCAGAAUAUAGUUGAUUUGAAUGUGUAUUGGAGCAAGUAAUGGAUUGGUUAAUAUGAAAAUAAUUUUAUUGCAAUAUUAUUGAUUCAGGAUUAAUUGUCAUACAUUGAUGUGCAAUAUUGAAAAAACAUGAUGUUUAUACCAUCUAAUCUAGUUUUAAAAAAAAUUAUUUCUAAUAUUGAAAAUCAUAUCAAUUGUGGCUUAAAUUGUAAUAAAGUUGAUUAUCAUUGUUAUUAUGCCAAAGAGGCAAUAAACAAUGCCAUUUUCUAUCAUAAUUUGCACAUUAGUUAGCAUGAUGUAGAAGUUGAAGAUCUUGAUAACAGCAAGGAGAACCGCCAUCACAUUACAAGUUAUGUCAAUGAUCAUAGAUUGAUUAAUGCCAUUGAUUUUCUAUUUAAUCAUGAUUUAAUGGAUUUUUUAAAAUUUUUAAAAUUUUUGAUUUUUUUUGAAAGAAUAGCAUAAUUAAAUUAGAAGAAUAUAAGAUAUAUUAGAAUAAGUGGUCUUACCAUGGUCUUCACAUACUAGCCGUAGAAAGAUGUGAUGGCUAGUUUUAAUAUAUUUUUAGUAUGGAUUAAGCCUCCAAUUCCUUCUUCAUAUUGUCCAGCUACUUAAGUAUGAAUGGAUGCAAUAGGCAGCUCAUGGCAUUAAAUUCCAAUGUAUUAUAAAUGCAAUAUGAGUACACUUUACUUUUGAAACUCAAGUAUUUAUGUAUUCUUUGGUGAAAUCUGACUUAAUUCAAUGGAUGACACUACGGAGCACAACCAAUUGCAUGGUGAAUUCUUGUAUUAUAAUAAUAUCAUCAAUGCUCUCAAAAUUAUAUAUGCAUUUAUUAUUCAAGCCUUGAUUAUGUUAUUUUUGCAUAAUUACAUUGGAUGUUAUAUGAAACAUGAUUGUCAUAGACAUCUUAGGCUUUAUUUGUUAUAAUGGAAUAGAUAUCAAAUAUUAAAGGCAUAUAUUGAGGUAGCAUAAUAUGACUUUAUGCAAUAUAAAAGCAUUGACAUCUACCUCUUGUAUAAGAUCCACAAUUAAAAAUUAUAUAAAGUAUUGUAAUGCCACAUAGCACAUAGUUGUAAAUUUAUCCUUCUUCAUAAUUGUAGCUUAACAUGAUUGAUGAAGCAAGAAAAAUAUAAGUCUAAACUAUUUUUAUAUUGAUAUUUAGUGAUAUUUAGGUAGUUCCAUGUUAGAUUUAAUUGAUUGGCAUGGAUAAAGAAUGUCUUGCCUAAAUAUUGAGUUUAUAUCUUUGUGAGCAAGUUAGUGCAAUCAACCUAUAAUUCAAAUACAUUUUAAGCAUCCUUAAGAAGAAAGUACAAUAUUAGAAGACUUAAUACAUAUCUAAGAUAUCAUACACAUUAGCCACACUAAUAAAGUCUUGAAUAAAGAUGAGAUAGGUAUCACCAAAAGAUUUUUUUUAAAAAAGUAAAGAUAGGUAGCUUAAUAGGAUUAAUAUAGGACUUAUGAGUGUAUUUGGCACAUAUCAUUGUGAUCAGUGUGAUCAAUGAUAAGAAAGAUAUAAUAAAAAGAACUUACAAAGAAAACAUGCUAUUGAUUACCUCUAUGACAAGGCAAACAAUAUACAAUAUCUGAUCUUCCAACAAGAAUUUAGCUACAUAUUAUACCUUUAUUGCCACCAAUUAUUUGUAGAGAACUAAAAAGAAAUUUCUUAGUUUUACAAAUAAGGAAUCUUUUGCAAUUAGAAAUAUUAUGGACAUUUGGAUUUUCAUAUAAAGUAUCUUUAAAUCCAUUGGUGUGAUGGUGGUUCCAAAACCUUCACUGUUGAAGAAGGAUGAAAUAUGUGGAUUGAUAAUAUUUAUAAUUUGUCAUGGACCUACAUAUUUAUUUAAAUGAUUAUCAAUAUAAUUAGAUAUAAAUAGGUAAAAAUAGAUUAAUUUCAUAAUAUCUUUUAGUCAAGCUUUUUAGAAGCUUUAUAGAUAUUGCUUUAAUUUUAUAUGUAUUUGUAGUUAAUUAAUAGAUUAGAAACUUAGUCAACAAGUUAGUCAUGUAUUUUAUAUAUUGAUAGCUUAUGAAAUAAGCUAAUUAAGUGGUGCACAUAUAAAAAACUUGUUUUACAAGUUAAGACAUGUGUUUAGAAAAAUCAACACAUGUUGGAGGUUGUAUAGAAUAUUGCCACAUAGCUCCUAAUUAGAUAAUAUAUAUAGAAAUAAGAGUAAAGCCGUCUUCAUUUUUGUUAAUAUCUUUUUUUUUUUAGACUAGUUUUAAGAGUUUAUACUCUUCUUAUUUUUGGAAAUAGCUAUUCUAGUCUUAAUACUAUAUUACUUUUGGAAUGAAUAUUUAUUCUUCUUAAGCUUUACAAGAAUGUUUUAAGAUUAUCCUUAUAUUUAUUCAUAGCCAUGAUAGUUUAAUAAGAAUAUUAAUUGAUUUUUUUUGUCUUAUUUUAGAAGUGAGAAGAUUAUGUCACUUCUAUUGUUGUAUUUUAAAGGUUAAAAAUUAUCUACGUUUAAACAAAAAAAAUAAUUUUCUAAUAUUAAUUUUUUUCUAAAAGAGAGUGAAUCACCUCUCUUUGUGAAAAUUUUCAUUUGAUAUUAGAGAUUGUAGAUUAUCCUCCUCUCAUUUGAUUUUUGGAUUUACUUAGUUUUUUGAAAUAAAAUAUUAAAUUAUAGAUGCUACACUUAGCAAAAAUAAAAUAGAUUUGUAACUUUUGCAAAUCUUCAUGAGCUUGUUGACAUUCUUAAGGUAGAAAUUUCAUACAUCACCAAUGUCAAGCAUUCAAACAUUAUUUCUAUACCUAUGGAAGAAGUUGAGAGUCUAUUCUAAGAAAUUAUGUAAUUGAAAGAAGCAAGUAGAUCAACCUCACAACCAAAUUCAAGAAGUCUUGUUUCUACAAGCAUAAGAAAAACAAGGAUUAGAAUAUUAAAUUUGAUAGAAUAAUUUCAAAUUUUUGAGGAUUUUUGCAAAAAAUUAAGCUUUAUUUAAGAUUGCAUCCUUUCCAAUACUCUAAUGGAUUUAAUAAAGUUAGAUUUAUACACACACUUUUUUUUGGUAGUGUUCUCUUUUUAUUUGUACCUUUGAUAGAAAAGGAUUUAUGGCUCUUUUAUGAUUUGAAUUCAUUCUAAAAAAUAUUUACGGCCAUAUUUGGUGAAAGUGAUCAAGAAAGUGUAAUAGAAACUAAGUUCUUAUCUUUACAAUAAGGAUCACAAUCACCCACCAUAUAUAUUGUUAAAUUUCAAAAUCUCGCUUGAGACAUUAUCAUAUUACGUGAAGUAUGCUUGAAAAUGCAUUAGACACUUGGUUGACAAAAGAAGAAUGGAACUUGCAAUAAGAUGAUUCUAACAACUAUAAUAGAAUCUUAAAUAAACUCCAAUUAAAUUAUAACAAUGCUAAUCAAUCCUUAAUUAAAUUCAAAAGAAGUCUCAAAACUUAUAAAAAAAAUAUGAAGAAAUAAAUAAAUUCAUCUUAAUCAAAUAUAUAAAAUAGAAAUCUUUAAAAAAAUAUCAAAAAUAGAUAUCUUAAUUGAAAUUUGAUCAAAUUCUAAUAUAAUCUUCAAUAAAUACUAAUAAAAUCUUAAACUCAUCUUAAUCAAAUAUUAAUGAAAUUCUAAUGAAAUCCUAUCUAGAUCCUAAUUAAAUCUUAAUCAAAUUUUAGACAAAUUUUUAAAAAAUUCUAAAUUAAAUCUUAAUGAAAUCCUAAUAAAAUAUUAUCUAAAUUCUAAUAAAAUCUUAAUCAAUUUCUAAUAAAUAUUAAUCAAAUACUAAAUCCUAACCAAAUUUUAAACCAAAUUUUGAACAAAUCCUAGUUAGAUCCUAAUCAAAUUUUAAUAAAAUCUUUGAACCAUUGAUUUUGACUAGAAUUCAAUACUUAAUGCUUGAAUCAUUGAUUUUGAUUCAAAAUUUUUAAACUUUUAAAAAACUAAAUUAACAAAAAUUAUAAAAUAUUUAAAGAAGAUCGUACAUAUCAAUUACAAGAAAAGCUCUCAAAACCUCUCGAUUGUUGGCUACCUUCUUCCUUCAGCUUAAAUGUUGAACUAUCAAAAAAACUUUCUCUUUGCUAAAUCAUUAAAUUACUCUAUAAUUUGAGUCAUGUGUAUAUAUUCAAGUCUAAAAUUUUCUUACUAAUUUUUACUUCAAUCAAAUUAGCAAAUAUUGCUAGAUUGCAAAAUCCUUCACUAAUCCUAAAUCUCAAUUAUUCAAGAUCAUAACACACAAAAAGUCUUAUACUCUUCAAUCUAAGUACUUGAUUGACCUCAAAUUUCUUACACAUUUAAAACAAACACAACAAUAAAUUAUCAAAUUUUUACCCACAUACAUACUACAAAAUUCAACAAAUCUUCAAAUUUGUAAACAUAUUUUUAUUUCUUAAAAUCUAAAUCCACCAAGUAUAAUAUUAAAUUUUAAAACCCUUCAAAAACUUAAUAUUAAUUAAAAUGACAUGAAAUCAACUUUCAAAAAUCUCUUCUCUAAUUUUUUCUCAAAUUUCAUUCUUUUUUUGACAAAAGAAUCAUAAAAAUAGUAUAAGUACUCAAUUUUAUACUUCAAGAUUUGAUUUCGGCCUUAGUUGACAAUUGGUCCUCUUCAAGUAUUAAUUAUUUUUUUCUUGGCAUAAUUUUUAUUAAAAUCAAUUCCUAACUAUCUCUUAUAUAUGCAUAUAUCUAUUAUUUUUUAAUCUUUUUUAUUUUUUCUAUUUAUGGCCAUAAAAAUAAAUAGAAUAUAUUUUUAUAAAAGAAAUUUUUAAUACCACAUGAUUUUACUACCUUCCUAACUUUUAUUUAUAUUUUUUUAUUAUAUCUUUUAAUUAGAUUUAUCUAUAAUAAAAUAAUUUUUAUUUCUUUCACCUAAUAGUUAUGUUAUUAUACAUAAAUAUAGAUUAAAAUAACAAAGCUUUUAUGAAUUAAUUUUGAUAUGGUAUCACAAACAUACAUAUUUGCUUUAAUAUUUACCUAUAUGAUUCAAUAGAAGUAGAUAAAAGUAAAUUAAUUUUAUAAGAUUUUUUAGAGAAGCUUUUUAGAAGCUUCAUAGAUGUUCUUUUGACUUUACAUGUGUUUUUAGUUGAUUGGUAGGUUAGAAACUUAGUCAAUAAGUUAAUUACAUAUUAGUAGCUUGUAGAACAAGCUAACUAUGUAUUACUUAUAUAAAAAACUUGCCUUGUAAGUUAAAAAUACAUGUCUUGUACAAUCAACAUGUUUUGAAGGUCCUACAAGACAUUGUCAUAUAGUGCUUAGUUAAAAGUAUAUAUGGAGGCAAGAGUGAAGCCUUCUUCUCUCUUAUCAAUACUUUUUUAGUCUUUAGUCUUGUUUCAAGACUUUCUAGUCUUUUUGUCCUUGGUAAUAGCCAUUUUAGUUUAAUACUAUAUCAUCUUUGAUUGAUUUUUUGAUCAUUUUAGGUGAUAUAAGAGUGUAUUGAUAUUUUAAUUUUUUGAGGUUCAUGUCCUUGAACAAGGAUUGAUAUGCUUGAAAAUAUUGAUGGAAUAAGAUCAAAAUUUUCAAGAUUUUUGCAAUAAGUCAAGCUCUAUGUAACGUUGCAUCCCUUCCAAUAUCUUGAUGGAUUUAUUCAAGUUAAAUUCAUAGGCACACUUUUAUCUAGAAAUAUUCUUUCUUAGUUUGUACUUUUAAUAGAAAAAGAUUUAUAAUUCUUUUAUGAUUUGAAUUCAUUCAUAGAAGUGUUUAUGGCCACAUUUGAAAAAUAUAAUAAAAAAAGAAUAGCAAAGACUAAGUUCUUAUUUUUAUAACAAAGAGUAUGGUCAGCCACCAUAUAUGUUGCUAAAUUCUAAAAUCUUACUUGCAAUAUGGACUAAAAUAUCAAAGCCUUUAUUAAUUAAUUUUAAAAUAGAUUAAAAGAUAAUAUCAAAUAUUUAUUAAUAAUAAUAUUAAAAGAAAAAUCUUUGGAAUAAUUUAUUACUCAAGCCAUUUUAUAUAAAAAUUAAUUAUUUAAAAGGUAUCAAAAAUAAAGAUUUGGAUAGAAAAGAAUAAGACAAGUAAUGAUAGUACCUUUCAAGUUUUCAAAAUUUAAUUCAUCAAGGUCAAAACCAAUGCAAAUUGAUGUGGUAUAUUUUAAAUUUCUUACUAAGCAAGAAAUAUUUAUUUGCAUCAAAAAGGUCUAUACUUAUAUUGUAGAGAAUCAAAAAAUAUUAUUUAAUAUUAUUAAAAGAAAUAAUAUAAUUACAAAAUAAAGAAUAUGGUUGCCAAACAAGACAAUGUAUCAAAAAAAAAGUCCCUCUAGCUAUAAUAAUGACCAUGUGGCUAGAGUCUUAUGUAAUUUUUAUUAAAGGUCCUAUUCUUUCUUGAGAUCUUUUAUGUUGUUUUAUAAUAGAAGUUUGUUUAGGAUCAAAAAUCAUAAAGUCUUAGCCUUGUUGAAUUCAAGAGCCUUACUCUAUUUUUUAGACAAAUACUUUAUCAAAAAAUAAGAUAUAUCAUUAGUUAAGAUAAUCAAAUCUAUCCAUGUAAAAGUAAUAGAUAAUUGUUUAUUAUUUUUUGGAGAUGUUAUAUAUGAAACUAUUCCUAUAGAAGUAACAAUUAGAAGUUAUAAUAGUUUGAUAAUAUUUAAUGUAAUUAGAUCUCUUUUCAAUCUAAUUAUUUUAGAUUAUUAUAGUUAAAAAAAUAUAACUCUUUGAUAGAUUGGAUUUCUUACAAUCUUGAUUUUUUCUAUAGUUUAAUCCAAUAUUUUGCUAGGUAAAUAGAAAUUCAUAAGAUCAAUACAUCUAAACUAUUAUUGAUAGGAGCAAGAAUUUUCAUGCAUGCUACAAAAGAAGGGUCAACUUUUGUUAUAUAUGCCAUACCAAUUUUUUAUAGAAAAAAUAUUUCAAGUAGCAUUCUAAGCUAAUAUCAAGAUUAUAAAAAUAUAUUUUAAAAAAAAAAUAUAGAUAUUCUUUCAAAGCAUUAUUUUUAUGAUUGUUCUAUUGAUAUUUAAGAAACAGCUCAACUAUGAAUUGGACCAAUUUAUAGCCUAUUAUAGAACAAGUUGGCUACACUCAAAGAAUACAUUGAUGAAAAUUUGGCUAAAAACUACAUACUCCAUUCUAAAUCUCUAAUCGGGACUCCUAUUUUGUUUGUGAAGAAAAAAGAUAGAUCUUUGUGGAUACGUGUAGACUAUGAAGGACUCAACAAGAUCACUAUUAAGAAUAGAUACCUUCUACUCUUAAUUUCAAGACUUUUUAAUCAAUUGAAUCAAGUAAAAAUUUAUACAAAAAUAGAUCUAUAAAAAACUUAUAAUCUAGUAUAUUUUUUAAAUCAAGUAUAGGUAUUUUAAAUAUAAUGUCAUGCCUUUAAGACUCAUAAAUGCAUCAAUUGCUUUUCAAUAUAUAAUAAAUGUUAUUUUUUGUAAAUUUCUUGAUAAUUUUAUUUUGUGUUAUUUAGAUAAUAUCUUAAUUUAUUCUAAGAAUAUAAAAGAGUAUGAACUUCAUGUUUUUUGUGUGUUACAAAAAUAAGAGAUAUAAGAUUAUAUACCAAGUUAGAAAAGUGUUUAUUUCACACUACUCAAGUUGACUUCUUAGGAUACAUUAUUUCAAACAAUGGUCUUAUGAUGGAUCCUGAAAAGAUCUAAACUAUCAUAAAUUAGAAGAUCUCAAAAGCAAUAAAAGAUAUGCAAUGUUUUUUUAAGAUUUGUCAAUUAUUACCAAAUCUUUAUUAAGAAAUUUUUUCAAGUUAUAAUCUCUCUUACAUACUUGAUAUGUAAAAACAAACUUAAGUAGACUAAAGAAGUUGAAGCAUUUUUUGAAGCUUUGAAGAGAACAUUUAUUUCUCUACCAAUCUUCUAUUGUAUCAAUUUUUUGAAGGCAUUCUUUAUGGAAAUAGAUGCAUCAAACUUUACUAUGGAUUUUUUUUGUCACAAAUAGAAGCAAAUGACAAGCUCUACUUAAUAGCUUUUUAUUUUAGAAAAUUUUUAGCAACCAAAAUUAAUAAUAAAAUCUAUAAAAAAGUAUUUUCUAUAAUUGUGGAUUUAUUUUAAAAAUGGUGUCAUUAUUUAGAAGGCCCUUUUAAUUCAAUUACUAUAUAUAUAUAUAUAUAUAUAUAUAUAUAUAGAUUACAAGAGUCUUGAGUACUUUAUAUUAGUAUGUAUUUUAAAUUAUUGUCAAACACGUUGGAACAUGUCUUUAUAAUAAUUUGAUUUUAAAAUUACUUAUCAAUCCAAAAAACAACAAGAUUUAUUAGACGCCUUUUUUAAAAAUUCUUAUCUUAUACCAAAAUAAUGAGACUCAACUUUUGAUCAACAAAGCAUAAUCCUCCUGAAGCUAGAGCAUUUUCAUCUUUGAGUAUUAAAAUCAAUAUUGAUUGUUGAUUCAACCUUUGUUAAGAAAAUUCUAUUAAAUAUGUCUUUUUAUCUUCUUGUUCAUGAUAUCAAGAAUAAUUCUUUUAAGUCUCAUAAUACUUCUAAGUUUGAAUUCAAGAACAAUAUAUUCUAUUUUGAGGGAUGAUUAUAUAUUUUAAAAGAUGAAGGGCAAUUACAUGUUCUUUAAGUUCUUCAUAACUUUCUAACAAAAAAAUACUUUAAAUAUAAUAAGACUUUAAAGCUAAUAUUAAGAGAUUUUUGGUAGCUUCAAAUGUAGAAGGUAGUUAAAGACUUUGUACAAUCAUAAGAUAUUUUUUUAAGAUCAAAAACUUCUCAUCAUUAAUCUCAUAGACUUCUUUAACAAUUCUCAAUUCCAAAACAACCAUGGUCUUCUGUUUCUAUGGAUUUUAUUAUAGAUCUUCUAGUUUCAAGUCCAUAUAAUUUUAUAUUUAUAAUAUUAGAUCAUUUUGUUCAGAUGACAUAUUUUGUAUUAUGUAUUAAAUGAAUCAUAGGUGAAAAAAUGGCUAAAUGUUUUUUUGACAAUAUCUAUCACUAUCAUAGAUUUUUUGAGGAUAUUAUAUUAGAUAUGAGGACUCAAUUUGUAUCAAGAUUCUAAAGAAUUAUUUUUAAGAUUCUAAAUCUAGAUAUAAAACUUUUUUUAGCUUUUUAUCUUAAAAAUAAUAGGUAAACAAAACAAAUGAAUUAAUUUUUGAAGCAAUAUUUGAAAUAUACUAUCAACUAUCAUUAAGAUGAUUGGAUAAUUCUUUUGCCAUUAAUAAAGUUUUAUUAUAGUAAUAUAAUAUAUUUUUUUAUUCAAUAAAUAUCUUUUUUUAAUAAUUAUGGUUAUCAUCUACAAUUUGAUACUUUUGACUUUUCAAAAGGUGAUAAUCCUAUAAUAGAAGAUUUGAUAAAUUUUUUAUCAAAGCUAUUUGCAACAAUAAAUGCACAAUUAAAAGAAGCUCAAGAAUAAUAAAAGAUCAAUGAGGAUGCCUAUUACAAGAAACAACUACAAUUUUUUUAUGAAUAAUAAGGUAUGAUUACUUCUUUGUAAUAUUAAGACUAUUUAUUCUUAUGACAAGUAGGCCUAUUAUAUUUUCCUAUUUAUAAAUAAGUCAAUCCUAUUACUUAUUGAUUAUAACUAUUGGAGUUUAUGAAGAUCCAUCUUAUAUUCCAUAUGUCUCUUUUUAAGCCAUAUAAGACAAUAAAUAUCUUAAAAAAAAGAAAAAUACCACUUUCUCCUAUAAAAAUAGAUAUUAAAUAAGAAUUCUAGGCAAAAGAAGUUUUGGAUUCAAGGUGGCACCAAAAUAGAUUAGAAUACUUUAUUCAUUGGCAUAGAUAUGAUGUUAGUGAAUGUACAUAGGAGCUAUCAAAGAAUCUUGUAAAUGUUAGAAAGAAGAUUGGAAUUUUUCAUUGAUAACAACUAUCAAAACUACAAUGAAGAAUAGAAAAUCUUUACUAUAAAAGAAACAAGAUUUAGAGAAGACAGCAUGCUACCUUCUACUUUUGUUUAUAAUUUUUGUACAUUUGUAAUGCUAAGGAGAUUGAAAAUCAAAAACUAGUAGAUUCAAUUCAAGAGCUAUUACUUAUUGACUUAUUUAAGGAGAUAUUACAAUUAUUACAACCUUCAAGCUGAUGUAAUUAAAAUAAAGAUCUACAAGAAUAAUAUGUCUUUUCUCAAAUAAAUGGCAAGAUACAAUGUGUUUGAUAUCACGACCUUGGAAGAGACUCUUAAUAUUUGGUGAUUUUAUUAGAAGUAACAACAACUCCUAAUAGUAUUCUAAAUUUUUUAUUUGAAGGAAGUUAUAAAGGCCUCAACAAUAAUUAAAUAAUAGAGUGGUCUUCCUACCCUAGUAUGAGAUACUAUUAAUACAUGACAUGACCUAUCAACUAUCUCAAGAAAACAAACAACAAAGUAUGUAGCAAACACAAUUCAUUACAUCUUGAAUUUCUUCAAUAUAUGAUGAUUGUUCUUCAUAGAAUUCAUUCCUAAAAGAGAGGGUAAUAUCAAGAACAUACAUAUUUAUUUUAUAUUUAUCUAUAUAAAUAAGUAGAAGUAGAUAAAAAUAUUUUUUUUUUUAAUAUCUUCUAAAGAAGCUUCUUAGGAGCUUUGUAGAUGCUGCUUUGGCUUUAUAUAUGUUUCUAGUUGAUUAAUAGGUUAUAAAUUUGAUUAAUAAGUUAAUUACAUAUUAGUAGCUUAUAAAAUAAGCUAAUUAUAUAGUGCACAUAUAAAAAACUUAUAUUGCAAGUUAAGAAUAUAUAUUUAACAAAGUCAACAUAUUUUAGAGGUCAUAUAGAACAUUGUCUUAUAGCUCUUAAUUAUUAGUAUAUAUAGAAGGAAGAGUUAAUCAUUUUUCACUCUUGUCAAUGCCUUUCUUGUCCUUAGAUUUGUUUCAAGACUUUCUAGUUUUUUUUUGUCUUUGGCAAUAACUGUUCUAGUUUAAUAUUAUAUCAUCUUUGAGUUUUUUUUUAGCCUUUUUGAAUGACACAAGAAUAUAUUGAUAUUUUAGUUCUUUGAAAUUUAUAUCCUUGAUAUAUGGAUUGAAAAAUAAUUUCAAUUUUUUUUAUUAAUAAUACCAAAAUUAAAUUUUUUUAAAACAAAUUAUUGCUCAAGCUAUUAUAUGUAACAAUCACUUAUUUAAAAGUUAUCAAAAACAAAGAUUUGGCUAAAGAGGAACAAGUCAAAUAAUAAUAGUAGCUCCUAAUUUUUUAGAAAAUUAUUCAUGAAAGUUAAAACUAAUGCAAAUUAAUACAAUAUGUUUUAAAUCUUUCACUGAGCAAAAAAAGAUUCAACGUCAUCAAAAAGGUUUGUACUUAUAUUAUGGAAAAGCUAAGCAUACUACUUGGUAUUAAUCCAAGAAGCAAUGUAAUUAUAAAAUAAAGAGCAUGGUUUUUAAAGAGACUAUAUGUCAAAAAACAAGUUUUUCAAAUUACAGUAGUGAUCUUAUGGCUGAAAUCAUGUGCAACAUUUAAUAAAGGUCAUUUUUUCUCUUCAAAUUUUUUGUCCUACUUUACAAUAGAUGCACAUUUAGGACCUAAAAAUCACAAAGCUUUUUAAGUUAACAAAGAACAUUGAUCCUAUGAUUGUUCAAUUUCAUCUUCAAGAAAGAGCUCAACUGCCAUUUGGACCAUUUGACAAUUUAUUACAAAAUAAUUUGGCUAUAAUAAAAAAAAUAUAUUGAUAAGAAUUUGGUUGAGAACUUCAUACAUUAUUCAAAAUUUUCAGCAAGAGUUCCUAUCUUAUUUGUAAAGAAAAAAGAUGGAUCUCUAUAGAUAUACAUAGAUUAUUGAGGAUUAAAUAAGAUCACCAUAAAAAAUGGAUAUCUCUAACCUUUUGUUUCAAGACUUCUUGACCAAGCCAAUGAAGCAUCAAAAUUACAAGAUGAAUAAAAGACUAUUUUUUGAACUAGAUAUGGUCAUUUUGAAUAUAAUAGCAUAUCUUUUGGACUUACAAAUAUAUCAGCCACUUUUUAAUAUCUCAUGAAUGAUAUUUUUUAUGAAUUCUUUGAUGAUUUUAUUAGAAUAAAAACUUCAUGUUUAUUGUAUCUUACAAAAACUUAAAGAUGCAAGAUUAUAUGUUAAGAUAGAAAAGUAUGUAUUCUACACUAAUUGAGUUGACUUUUUAAGGUACAUCAUUUCUAAUGAAGACUUAAUGAUGGAUCCAAAGAAGACCCAAACUAUCAUAAAUUGGAAGAUUCCAAAGACAAUAAGAGAUAUGCAAUGUUUUUUGGGCUUUGCCAAUUACUACCAAAUCUUCAUCAAGAACUUUUUUCAAGUUGCAAUUCUAUUUAUAUGUUUGAUUUGUAAAGAAAAACUUGAAUAGAAUAAAGAAAUAGAAGCUUUGUUUGAUACUUUGAAGAAAAAAAUUACUUUUAUACUAAUCUUAUAUCAUAUCAACUUUUUUAAGGUAUUUUUUAUGGAAAUAAAUGUAUUAGACUUUGUCUUUAAUAAAGUAUUAUCACAAAUAGAAGCAAAUGAUAAAUUCCUUUUAGUAGCUUUUAAUUUUAAGACAUUUUUAAUACUAGAGAUCAACUAUAAAAUCCAUAAUAAAGAAUUUCUUGUAAUUAUCGAUUCUUUUCAAGAAUAGCAUUAUUAUUUAAAAGAUGCUUCCAAUCUAAUCACUGUAUAUAUUAAUCAAAAGAAUCUUAAGUACUUUAUAUCAAUGUCAAGAAUAAUAACUUAAUAAAAUCAAAUAAUCAAAUGAAACUUUUUUUUAAGAAGUAUGACAAAAUAGAAGUAAAAAAACAUGUAUAUUAAAAAAAUUGGAAUGGCUAUUGCUAAAAGAAAAAAAUAAAAAAUAAAGACUCUUGAAUCUAUACUAAAGUAAGAAAUGAGUUGACAAGAGUAAAGAAGGCUUCAAUCUUGCCUCUAUAUAUAUUAUCCACCUAAGAGCUACGUGGUGAGGUUCUAUAGGACCUCUAACAUGUAUUGAUCUUGCAAGCCACAUGUUUUAACUUAUAAGUAGAGUUUUUUAUGUAUAUAUUAUAUAGUUAGCUUAUUCUAUAAGCUACCUUUACAUGUAAAAUGUGGUUAAUUUUUUGAGCAAGUUUUUAACCUAAAAAUCAAAUAUAAAUACAUAUAAAAUUAAAACCAUAUCUAUAAAGCUUUUAGAAAGCUUUUCUAAAAUAUAUUAUAAAAUUAAUCCAUUUUUAUCUAUUUUUAUCUACUUUUAUCUAAUCAUAUAGAUAAUUAUUAGAAUAAGUAUGUAUGUCCAUAAUAAUUUAUUUGUAACAUUAUCCACCUUUUUAAGAAUGAGUUCCAUGAAGUGCAAUCAUCAUAUGUUGAGAAAAUCUAAGAUGCAACAAAUUAUAUUUGCCACAUACUUUGAUCUUUAUUCUCUUUAAAGAUCAUUGAUAAGUCUUCUCAACCAUCAAUAAUGUUACAUAUGAAGUUAAAAAGAUUAUCUUGUUAUUUAAUCAUUAUUAAGACUUUCAUAACUUCUUUCAAAUAAAAUAUUUGAAAUAUUGUUAGAAAUUGUUCUUACCUCUAAUAAAAUCACCAAACAUUAGGAGUUCCUUCCAAGGUUGUGAUAUCAAAUAUGUUGUAUCUUGCUAUCUAUUCAAAAAAAUAUAUAUUAUUCUUGACGAUCUUCAUCUUCAUUACGUUGUGUUAAAGAUUCAGAUAAGCACAAUGUCUCAUCCGACAAGUCAACAAACAAUAAUUCUUGAGUUGAAUUUGCUAGUUGUAGGUUCUUCAUUUCCUUACCAUUACAAUAUAUACAAAAACUACAAAUAAGGAUAAAAGUUAGAAUAUUAUCUUCUCUUGAUCUUAUUUCUAUUAUAGCAAAAAUUUGAUUUUCUUCAUCUUAAUUUUGAUAGAUAUUAUUGAUGAAAAGCCUUGACCUUUUUUAUUUCAAUUACAAGAUUUAUUGCUAGCUUCUAUGUACAUUCAAUAAUAUCAUACCUAUACCAAUGAAUAAGAUAUUCCAACCUAUUUUGGUAUUGCUUUGAAAGUAAGUCUUCUUCUAUCUCAAAAUCUUCAUUUUUGUCCAUUUCUAUAGAAGAAGGUGGCACAUGUUUUUUUUCUUGGUAUAUUCAUUGUCUUGUAUGAUUCAUAAAAAGAUAUAUAGAAUAUAUGAUGGAUCUUUAUUCAUUUUAGUAUGUGUAAUUGAUAAGCAAUUAAAUUAUUUUGUUCACAAAUAGAAAAUGAUCUAAACUUACAAUAGUCCAACUUGUCACAAGGGCAAAUAGACUUAAUAUUGUAAUGAAAUAAUCAUAUUCAAUCAUCUACAUUAAAUUAUGGUUGUUCCUUGUAAUAGAUAUUUGUGUUUAUCUUUUGCUAUUCUUCAGCUUUUUGUAAUUGCACCUUCAUUACUGCAUGUAGCUCUGAUAAAUAAUUUGCCAAAUCUUCUACCACAAGAUUAUCAACACUUGAAAAGUCAAAAGCAUCAAGUCAUGGAUAAUAACCAUAAUUAAAAAAAAAUAUUUAAUAAAUAGAAAGGUGUACCAUAUUAUUAUUGGAAAAUUCUACAAAGGACAAAAGAAUUGUAUAAUCAUCUCAUUGGCAGUUGAUAAUACACCUAAAAUAUUGCUCCAAUAUUUGAUUAACAUACUUUUUUUGUCCAUCAAUUUGAAGAUGAAAGGCCAAAGAUAAUUUUAUAUCUAUCUUUAGAAUCUUUAAAAAAAAUUCAAAAUCUUAAUAUAAUUUGAAUCUUCCUAUCUAAUAUAAUAUCCUUCAAUAAACCAUGAUAGCAAUAGGUAUUUUCAAAAAAAAACUUGACUAUUUUUUCACAUGUGAUAGAUUUUGUACAUGCUAUAAAAUAUACCAUCAAUGUAAAAUGACCUACUAUCACAAAUAUAGAAUCAUAUAAACUUGAGACUUGAAGAUCUAUGAUAAAAUCCAUAGAAUUAAAAGACCAUGGUUGUUCAAGUAUGGACAAUGGUUAAAGAUGUCUAUAGGUUCAAUGACAAGGAAUUUUUGGCCUUGAAUAAACAUCAUAUGACUGAACAAAGUCUUUCAUUGCCUUCCACAUUUAAAACUAUUAAAAAUAUUUUAAUAUAGGCUCUAAAGUCUUGAUAUAUCAAUAAUAUUGAGCUGCUAUAAAGUCAUGAUAUGCUUGAAGAAUAUGUUGUUAUAUAGUAUAAUUUUCUAUUUAAAAAUAUAUUAACUAUCUAGUUAUAAAGAGUUUAAUUUUAAUUUAUUAAAUAAGUUUUAAUAAGUGAUGUAUUCUUAUUAUAGAGGCCAAAUAAAUAUAAUAAUAUCAAAAGAUAUUUUAUUAAUAAAAUUCUUUUAUAUUUAAGAAGCUUCAUGCAUAAGGCUUUCUAAAGCAUCUGAAAAUGUCAUAACAUCUUUUGCUAUAUUAAAUUAAAAUAAUUAUUUGCUAGUAAGCUUGAUUUUUAAUAAGCUCAAAGAAAAUCCAUAAUCUUCUUUAAAAAAUCCAUCUUUAUAUCAUAAUUUUUCUAUAGCUCAAUAUCUCCAUUUUUAACAUAUAUAUAAAGUCUUGGCUUCCAAAAUCCCUUUUAUUUUGCAUAAAAUAUCCCAAUUAUAGUAAAAGAUUUUUAAAAUAUUUUUUUCUAUAAAAGAUUUUUUUCUCUAAAUUUUAGAAAUUCAUAUCUCUUAAUCCAACCAUUCAAUUUUUUCAAAUUUUUAAAUAAUCUAUACUUUAUCUUUAAGCUUUAUUACAAAAAAAUAAAAAAUAAAUCUAUUACAGCUCAUCUAGCAUCUUAAAAAUCCUAGCAGGUGCUUUAAAUUCUAAUUUAUUAGUACUCAAGUAAUAUUUUCUUUAUAUUUCAAAAUCCAAAAAUUUAAAUACUAUAAAAUUUAUAUAUAUAAUUUAAUAACAUGAUAACAUACAAAAAAAUUUAGCCAAAAUCUUAUCAAAUUACUCAAAAUAUUGCUCAAAAUACAACCACUAGUAAAUCGGAUUACUUACUAUCCUUAGAUUACAAGUGCUGACUUCAACUUCCUAUAAUUUCUUCAACCUAGCUUAGAAUUUAUCAAAUAGUAUAUGAAAAGUAUAGUCAAAAAAGUACUUUCUUCAAUUCCAGUCGCCAAACUUUCAUUGCUUUCUAUAUGCAUGCAUUAUGUCUAAAAAAAUGACAAUAGGUACCAAACCAAUACCUUAAUUUUGAGCGCCUAUAUUUUUUUAUAAAAAUUCCAACUCACACAAAAUUUAUACCAAAACCAUAGCCAAAAAUUUAAAUUCUUUGAUUCUAGCCUCUUAAGUUUGAAAGACCUCAAAAGAAUAAUCCUAAUCCCUAAUAAGGCCAUGAGUAGCCUCUUUGAAGCCCAUUAGACAUGCCUUUUGAUCAAUAGCAAUGGAGAUUUUUAUCAUCUAUCUCCAUUCAUCCAUAUAGAUGUCUUUAAUAUUCUUUUUGCUACCAAAAUUCCUCUCCAAUCUUUUUUCUUAUAAGAUUUACAUAAUAUAUGCCUUAAAUAUCAAAUAAAAAAAUAAAAUAAGAUUCUAAAAGUCACUAAUAUAUAAUAAAUAUAGCUUUAAAUAUAAAAAAUUAUUAUCAAUAUAAAAUCAACUUUAAUAAUAGUCUUUUUAAACUCACCACUUCAAAAUAAUAAUCUAAAUAUAUUUUGUAACUAACUAAAAUCUAAUAAUAUGGCUCUUAUUACAUUGUAUAGUAAAUUAUACAUUAAAUAUUUAUAUGUAUUAUUUUCAUAUAGUAGCUGAAUCACAGUACAACAAUAUAAACGUGCUUAUUUUUUUGAAAUACAUAAGUGUCUUUGGAAAUAAAAUAGAUUAUUCUUCAAAUCAAACUUAGAAAUAUUAUGAGUCUUAGAAGACCAGUUUUUAAUAUCAUAAAAAAAAUGGAUCAGAGAACAUACUUAAUUUAAUUUAUUUGACAAAGGUUGAAUCAAUAGUCAAUUUUAUUUUACUAUUCAAAAAUAAAAAUGAUCCGACUUCAAGAAAAUUAUUCUUUGUUAAUCAAAAGAUGCGUCUCAUUUUUUUGAUGCAAGAUAAGAAUAUUCAGAAAUGGCAUUUGACAAAUCUUAUUAUUUUUUGAAUCUAUAAAUGACAUUGAAAUCAAAUGUUCACAAAGAUAUGUUCUUAUAGACUUGCAAUAAUUGAAAACAAGUGCUGACAUAAAAUAUUUAAGAUUCUUGUAAUUCGCAUAAAUAAUGACUAGAUUACAAGGGCCUUUUGAUAAUUGCACCAUUUUUAAAACAAAUCCAUAAUUGCAAGUUCUUUAUCAUGAAUCUUAUAGUUGAUCUUGGCUAUUAAAAAUUUUCAUAAAUGAAAAGCUUAUAGGUGAAGUUUAUCAUUUAUUCCCAUUUGUAAUAAUACAACAUCUAAAGUAAAGUUUGAUGUAGCUAAUUCUAUAAAGAAUGGCUUAGAAAAGUCAAUACAAUACAAGAUUAGUACAUAAAUAAAAGUUAUCUUCAAAGCUUUGAAUGUUGCUUCUGCUUCUUAAUUCCAUUAAAAUUUGUCUUUACAAGUCAAACAUGUAAGUGAAGAUGCAACUUUAAAAAUAUCUUUCAUGAAUAUCUAAUAGAAAUUGGUAAAUUUUAAAAAGUAUUAAACAUCUUUUAUUAUUUUUAGAAAUUUUUAAUCCAUAAUAAUUUGAACUUUCUUAAAAUCCAUUAUUUGAAAUGAUAUAUCCUAAAAAGUUGAUUUGAGUAGUGUAAAAUAUAUAUUUUUCUAUUUUGGCAUAGAGUCCUACAUCUCUUAGUUUUUGUAAUAUACAAUAAACAAGAAGUUCAUAUUCUUUUGUGUUUUUAGAAUAGAUUAAGAUAUCAUUUAAGUAAUAGAUAAUAAAGUCAUCUAAAAACUAUCAAAAAAAAUCAUUCAUUAGAUGUUGGAAAGUUGUUGGUGCAUUUGUAAGUCCAAAAGACAUGAUGUUGUAUUUGAAAUAUCUUUACCUAAUUUAAAACGUAGUCUUUUAUUUAUUUCUUUUUUUAAUGUGUAUUAGAUUAUAUGCUCCUUAUAGAUUUAUUUUUGUAUAAAUCUUAGCUUGAUUCAAUUGUUUAAGAAGUCCAAAUAUCAAAUGUAGCGGGUACUUCUUCUUGAUGGUGAUUUUGUUGUAUCCUUCAUAAUUUAUACACAUCCACAAUAAUCCAUAUUUUUCCUUUAGAAAUAAAAUUAAAGCUCUUGCUGGAGAUUUGAAAUGGCUUAUGAAAUUUUUAGACAAUUUUUUUUCAAUAUACUCCUUGAAUUCAACUAAUUAAUUUUACAAUGAACUAUUGAUUGGUCCAAAUAGAGGUGGAGCUCUUUCUUGAAGGUCAAUUGAAGAAUCAUAAGAAUGAUGUUCUGAAAAAAUAUCCACAUUUUUCUUCUCAAAUAUAUCUUUAAAAUCUUGAUACUAGCUUGAAAUACCACUUAAAGUCUUUUUACCUUUAAAAAAAAAUGCAACAUAAAUGACAUAAGAUAAUAUUUCUUUUGCAACAUGCAAAAAAGCUCUUGCACCUAUAAAUAAAAUUUUAGUUGUACUAAACUUAUGACUUUUUACUUGAUUUAUUACACUAUUAGUUAUACUUUUAAAAAAUUCAAGACUAUGAAAAAUCUAAUCUAUUUUACAAUUAUAUUUUUUUAGCCAUGAUAAACCUAAAAUGACUAGAUUAAAGUAAUAUCUAGUAAUAUUAAAUAUUACAAAGCUAUUAUAACCAUUAAUUGUUAAUUCUAUAGGAAGGAUUUUAUGAGUAAUAUCUUGUGAAGAUAAAAGUUGAUCAUCUAUGACUUCUAAGUGAACAAGUUUAGUUUUCUUUACUAAAGAUAUGCUAUGUUUUUUAGCAAAUUCUUCAUCUAAAAAACAUAUUGAGGCUCCUCAAUCUAACAAGCCAAAGACUUUAUAAUAUUUAGGUUCUAAAAUAAUAUUUAUUAUAAAAUAAAGAGAAAAUUUUGUGGAGAGAAUUUUGUAGAGAGAAUAUGACUUUUAUUAGGUAUUGUAUAAGGUUCCAAUUGCAUAAUGUCAAUUAUAGUUGGAUAAACUCACUUUUUGACAUACUAUCUUUUUUGAUAGCUAUACUCUUCAUUUUUUGGUUGUGUCAUUUCUUUGAAUAAUAUUGACUAGUAUGCUUAGAUAUUCUAUAAUAUAAGUAUAAUAUUUUUUAUUAAUAAUGAGUCUUUUUUUGCUUAAUAAGAAGUUUGAAAUAUAUUACAUCAAUUUAUAUAUCUUCUACUUUUAAAUGUAUAUAUUGAGGAGAUAUUGGUAUUGACAUUGAAUUAUAGUAACAUUAAGAUGUGCUUAUUGUCAAGGAUAUGAACUAAAAGAUGAUGCAUAAACCAAUGAAAUCCGUGUCAAAGAAAGAGUAACAAAAUACAAAUAAGAAAGUACGUAUAUUAAAAAGAAAUUGGAAUGGCUUAUUACCAAAAGACAAAGAAACUUGAGACUCUUGAAACUAGACUAGAAGCAAGAAAGGAGUUAACAAGAGUGAAGAGGGCUUCACUCUUGUCUCUAUAUAUACUAUCUAAUUAAAGGCUACAUUGUCAUACUGUAAUUGCUUACAGUAUGUAAAAAUUAAUUAAAAUAUAUAAUAUGUUUGUAAGUCUUGAUGUAGAUUAGAGUGAUUAGUAAAUGAAUUUAAAGAGAAUUGAUAUAAGAAAAUUUCUUUAGAGAUUUAUCUAUUUUGAUUAUAGUGUUUAUAUUAUGUAGGAUUUAGAUAUUUAAUAUAAAGCUUAACAGAAGGUUGGGGCCUAAAGAAGAAAAUCUUGACUAAUAGGAGGCUUAUUGGAAGGGAUGAAAGCAAGGUAUGGUUGGAUAAAGGCAAAGAAUGGGAAACUUCAUUCCUAUUGAUCAAAGGCCAUGCCCAAUGGGCUUCAAGGAGGCUGCCCGAGGUCUUAUUAAGGAUUAGGAUUUUUCUUUCGAAUUCAUUCGAGCUUUGGAGGCUAGAAUCAAAAAGUUCAAGAUUUUGGGUAUAAUUUGGAUGAAGAGUUUGUGUGAUUUCGAGUUUUUGUGAAAGAGAUAUAGAUGUUCAAAGUUAAGGUAUCAAAUUUGUACCUACUAACACUCUUUGAAGUAUAACAUAUGCGUACAGAGAGCAAUGAAAGAUCGACAAUUGAAGUUGGAGAGGACACUUUCUUGACUACACUUUAUAUGUACUGUUUGAUGAAUUUCAAGUCUAGAUGAAGGAGUUAUAGACAUUUGAAGACAACACAUGUAAUUCAAAGGCAGUAGAUGAGUCAUUUUGUUGAUAGUAAUGGUUGGAGCCAUAUCUUGAGUUUUUAGACAAAUUUUUGGCUCAAAAUUUCCAUAAAUAUGUGUUAUUAAGUUAAGAAGCUAUAAAUCAAAGUUUCAUGAUAUUUUACUUAUUUUGUGAGAUAUGAAGAAAUUAGCAUGUCGAUAUAAGUAAGCUAGGGUUUAAAGCUAUUGCUAGGAUUUUAGUGAUAUCUCAAGAUCCAUAACGAAUUUGUAGUUGAUUUUUUUUGUGAAAGUUUUUAAAAGUAUAUUAGUACUUCAUAUAAAAUUUAAAGUUGUUUGGAUGGUCCGAUCGUGAGAUAUGAGCUAUUGAAGUUUGGAAAACAUCUCUCAUAAGGAUAUAUAAGGUUUUAAGAUCUUUAUCAUACAUUUGGGUGUUUUCUUGGUACUUGGGCUUGUGUUUUGAUGUAAUUGCCCAAAAAGAGAAAAUAUUAUAUGUAUAAACUUGGUUUUUUAUAUCUUAGACUUGAUUGAGUAUUUAGUGGUAGCCAGAAGCCCAGCGCUUUCUUGAGGCAAACUCUCUCUACUCCGACAAUGUGGUGAUGUUCUAUAGGACCUCCAAUAUGUGUUGCUUUAUAGGACACAUGCCUUAACUUAUAAGAUAAGUUUUUCUACAUGUGGGCCACAUAGUUAGUUUGGUCUUCAAGUUAACAACAUAUGUGGUACAUGGCCAACUUGUUGACCACUUUAGUAAUCCAAAAAAUCAAUUAUAGACACCUAUAAAGUCAAAACAGCAUCUAUGAAGCUUCUAAAAAGCUUUUGUAGAAGAUAUUAUAGAACUAACUUACUUUUAUCUACUUCUACUUAUUUCUAUAUAUUUAUACAAAUAAUUAUUGGCUUACAUGUAUAUGUCCAUGACAUUACUCCCUCUUCAAGGGAUGAGUUCCAUAAGGAGCGGUCAUCAUAUGUUGAAGAAAUCUAUGAUGCGAGAAAUUAUAUUUGCCACAUAUUCAGAUCUUUAUUCUCUUUGAAGAUGGUUGAUAGGGUCUCUCAACUAUUGAUAGUGUCGCAUACCAAGGCGAAAAGACCACCUUAUUAUUUGAUUGUUGUUGAGGCCUUCAUAACUUUCUUCAAAUAAAAUAUUUGGAACACCAUCAAGAAUUAUUCCUACCUCUAAUAAAAUUACUAAACAUUUAGAAUCUCUUCUAAGAUUGUGAUAUCAAAUAUGUUGUAUUUUACCAUCUAUUCGAGGAAAAAUAUGUUAUUCUUGAAGAUCUUCAUCUCGAUUUCAUCGUCUUGAAGGUUGUAACAAUCAUAAUGUCUCGUCCAACAAGUCAAAAAAAGAAGGUUCUUUAAUCAAAUCCGCUGGUUGUUGGUUUUCUAUCCCUUUAGUGUGACAACUACAAAGAAGCUACAAACAAGGAUUGAGAGUAGAAUGUUAUCUUACCAAGAUCUUGUUUCUUUUAUAUGAAAGGUUAUCAUCUUGAUUUUGAUGGAUGUUGUCGAUGAAAAGCCUCCACCACCUUUGCUAUAUUUGUAAGAUUUUUUACUAGCUCUCAUGUACAUUCACUAAUAUCAUAUCCAUACCAAUAGAUAAGUUAUUCAAAUUUAUUUUGACAUUGCCUUGAAUCUAGGACUUCUUCCACUUCGAACUUUUUAUUAUUGUCCACUUCUAUAGGAAGAGAUAGAGCUUGUCUUCUUUUUGAUUUGUCUACUAUCUUAUAUAGUUCAAAAAGAGACAUGUGGAAUAUUGGAUGGAUUUUUAUUAACUCUAAUAGAUGUAAAUAAUAUGCAACUGAAUUGAUUUGUGCAGAAAUAAGAAAUGGUCCAAGCCUACAAUAGUCCAACUUGUGACAAGGAUGAGUGGUCUUGAUAUUGCGACAAAGUAACUAUAUCUUGUCAUCCAUGUGGAAUGGUAGUUAUUUCUUUCGAUAGACAUCCACAUUGAUCUUUUGUUGUUCUUGAGUUUCUUUUAAUUGUACCUUCAUUGUUACAUGUAGCUCUAACAAAUGAUUUGCCAAAUCUUCUGCCAUAGAAUUAUCAAAUUUUGAAAAGUCAAAAGUAUUAAGUUAUGGAUGAUAACCAUAAUUGGCAAAGAAAGGUGUUUAUUUUGUAGAAGAAUGUAUCGUAUUAUUAUAAGUAAACGCUGCCAAUGACAAAAGAAUUGUCCAAUCAUCUUAUUGGUAGUUGAUGGUACAUCUUAAAUAUUAUUCCAAGACUUAAUUAGUACGCUUCGUUUAUCUAUCAGUUUGAGGAUGGAAUGCCGAAGAUAAUUUUUUAUCCACUUUUAGAAUCUUGAAAAGAGUCUACCAAAAUCUUGAUACAAACUGAGUUUUCCUAUUGGAUAUAAUAUCCUUAGAUAAUUUAUGAUAGCAAUAGAUGUUAUCAUAAAAGAGUUUAGCUAUUUCUUCACCUUUGAUAGAUUUUGUACAUAGUACAAAAUGUACCAUCUUAGUAAAACGAUCUACUAUCACAAAUAUAGAGUCAUAAGAAUCUGAGAUUGGAAGAUUCGUAAUAAAAUCCAUAGAAACAAAAGACCAUGGUUGUUUUAGAAUAGGUAAUAGUUGAAGAAGUCUGUAAGGUCAAUGAUGAGGAAUUUUUGACCUUGAACAAAUGUUGUAUGACUAAAAAAAGUCUUUCACAUUCUUCUACAUUUGUCGCCACCAAAAAUCUUUGGAUAUAAGCUUCAAAGUCUUGUUGUAUCCAAAAUGUCCUAUUGUUGAAAAGUCAUGAUGUGCUUGAAAAAUACAUAAUCGUGCUUCUCUUCUUGGAACAUAUAAUUGAUCUUUAAAAUAGAGUAGGUUGUUUUUAAACUCAAACUUAGAAGUAUCUUGGAACUUAAAAGAAGGAUUUUUGAUAUUAAGAAUAAGAGGAUCAAAAGAUAUACUUAAUUGGAUUUAUUUUAUAAGGGUUGAAUCAACAAUCAAUGUUGAUUUCAUUACUCAAAGAUGAAAAUGCUCUGGCUUCAAGAGAAUUAUUCUUUGUUCAUCAAAAGAUACAUCUCUUUCUUUUGGUGCAAGAUAAGAACAUCUAGAAAGGGCGUCUCACAAACCUUGUUGUUUUCUAGGUCGAUAUGUGAUCUUGAAAUCAAAUCCUGAUAAAGACAUGCUCCAAUAAACUUAGAAACAAUUUAAAAUACGUGCUAACAUGAAGUACUUGAGAUUCAUAUGAUCUGUAUAUACAAUGAUUGUAUUAGAAGUGCCUUCUAAAUGAUGAUGCCAUUCUUGAAAUGAAUCCUUCGAUUGUAAAAAGUUCUUUGUCAUAGAUUUCAUAGUUAAUCUCAGUUGCUUAAAAUUUUUUGGAAUGAAAAGCUACUUGGUGAAGUUUAUCAUAUGUUUCCAAUUAUGAUAAUAUGGCACCCAAAGCAAAGUUUGAUGUGUCUGUUUCCAUAAAAAAAUACCUUAGAAAAGUUGAUGCGAUAUAAGAUUGGUGUAGAAAUAAAGGUUGACUUCAAAAUUUCAAAAGAUGCUUCAACUUCUUUGCUCCACUCAAGUUUUUCUUUGCAAGUCAAAUAUGUAAGUAGAGCUACAACUCGAGAGAAGUCUUUGAUGAAGAUCCAAUAAUAGUUGACAAAGCCCAAAAAGCAUUGGACUUAUCUUACCAUUUUUGGAAUCUUUCAAUCCAUAAUUAUUUGAUCUUUCUUAGGAUCCAUCAUAAGUCUAUCAUUUGAAAUGAUAUAUCCUAAGAAGUCGACUUGAGUAGUGUGGAAUAUACACUUUUUUAUCUUGGCAUAGAGUCUCGCAUCUUUUAAUUUUUAUAACACAUAAAAAAUAUGAAGCUUAUGUUCAUUUAUAUUUUUAGAAUAAAUCAAGAUGUCAUCUACAUAACAAACAACAAUAUCGUCUAAAAACUCUCAAAAAACAUCAUUCAUUAGAUGUUGAAAAGCUUUUGGUGCAUUUAUAAGUCCAAAAGGCAUGAUGUUGUAUUCAAAAUGCCCAUACCUAGUUCGAAAUGCAAUCUUCCAUUUAUCUCCUUCUUUGAUAUGUAUUAGAUUAUAUGCUCUCCAUAGGUCUAUUUUGUGUAGAUCUUAGCUUAAUUCAGUUGAUUAAGAAGUCCGAAUAUCAAAGAUAGUGGGUAUCUAUUCUUAAUGGUGAUCUUGUUGAGUCCUCAAUAAUCAAUACACAUCUGCAAUGAUCCAUCUUUCUUCUUCACAAAUAAGAUUGGAGCUCCUAUUGGUCAUUUGGAAUGGCAUAUGAAAUUCUUGGCCGGGUUGUCUUCAAUAUAUUCCUUGAGCUCAGCCAAUUCAUUUUGUUAUAAACUAUAGAUUAGUCGAAAUGGUAGUUGUACUCCUUCUUGAAGGUUAAUUGAGCAGUUAUAGGGACGAUGUUCUAAAAAAGUAUCCACAUUUUUUUUCUCAAAUAUAUCUUAAAAUUCUUAAUAUUUGCUAAGAAUGCCACUUGAAGUCUUUGUAUCAUUAGAAACAAGUGUGGUGUAAAUAACACAAGGUGAUCCUCCUUUUGUAGUAUGCAAGAAAGCUCUUAUACCUACAAACAUAGGUUUAAUUGUAUUAGACUUAUAUCUUUUUAUUGGAUUAAUUUCACUCUUAAUUAUGCUUUUAAAGAAAUCAAGGAUUCAAGAAAUCCAAUCUAUACAAGGAUUAUACUUUUUUAACUAUGAUAAAUCAAAAAUUACUGGAUUAGAAGGAGAUCUAAUUAUAUUAAAGAUCAUGCAAGUAAUAUGACUAUUUAUUGUUACAUCUAUAGGAAGUGUUUCAUGAGUAAUAUCUCUAAAAGACAAUGGACGACCAUCUAUGACUUCUACAUGAACAGGUUUGAUUUUUUAUACUAACGGUAUUUUAUGACUUUUAAUAAAUUCUACGUUUAAAAAACAAACUGAGGCUCCUAAAUCUAUUAAGGUGGAAACUUUAUAAUUAUUAAGUCCUAAAUGCAUAUCUAUUAUAAAACAAGGAGAAGGUUUUGAGGAGACGAUAGAACCUUUAUUAAAAAUUAUAUAAGAUUCUAGCUACAUGGUUUCUAUUAUAGCUGGAAAAAUUUGUUUUCCAAAACAUUAUCUUCUUUGACAGAUGUGCUCCUCAUUUUGUGAUUUUAUCACUUCUUUAGACAAUGUUGAGUAGUGUGUUUAGGUUCUCCACAAUAUAAGCACAAUCCUUCUUGAUGGCAACGAGCCUUUUCUUAUUCAAUAAGAAGUUUAAAAUGUACUGCAUCACUUUACAUAUCUUCUCCUUUUGAAUGUAUGUGUUGAAGAGAUGUUGGUGUUACCAUUGAAUUGUAGUAAUAUUGAGGUCUAUUUAUAUGACUCUUAGAUCGAAAUUCAAAAAAACAAUUGUCACAUUUUUUAGCAAAGUCAAUUGCUUGACUCAAUGUUUGAGGAUCAAGUAAGUUGAGCAUCAAUUUAUUUACUUUAUAUUAUAAUCCAUAGAAAAAUUGACUAAUAAGUGUAGCAUCAUUCUACUUAGUAUUAGUUAUAAGUUAUCAAAAUUUUGAAUUAUAUAAUAUUACAGAUCAAUUACCUUGUCACAAAAUAUGGAUCUUAUUGGUUGCAAUAUGAGUUGCAUCAUGUUUUCCAUACAUGGACCAGAAUUCCACCAAAAAUGCCAUCAGAUUAUUCAAUAUUAGAUCUUGUCAUUCAAAAAAAGAUGAAAACAACGAUAGUGCUGAACUUCAAAGAAAUGUAUCAAUGAAUCUAACUUAUGAUCCUGGAGCUGGAUAGUUUUGAAGUUGAAGUUCAAUCACAAGUUGUACUUGAUUGAUAAAUCUUCAAAAUUUGGAUCUUAUAUCAUCAAACUUCUCGAGCAAAGAAACUCUUGGUUCUCUAAUACUUGAAGGAUGUUCCAUCAUCGGUGGAGGGACAUGAUUUGGUGCAGAUGUUGAAGCAGCUUUAAUCAUCUCUAUAUCCUCACUUCCUACCAUUCUUGUUAAUCCUUGUGGUGGUAAGCUAAGUUGAUGCAUUGUAAGCAUCAACUCUCUCAAUUACUCUUGCAUUUGUACUAUUGCACUCUUCAUUUCAACAAAAUCUAUUGUAAUAAUACUCAAAAAAAUAUCUAAUACCGCUCAAGACAAAUAGAACAAAAGACUUGAGGACAAAGAAAAUACCAAGAAUAAUAUCAGUUUAGAAGAGGGUAAUCUAUAACUUCUAAUAUCCUUAUGUCUUAUCAUGAAAAAGGAAUAAUUCACUUUUAAUCAAGACAAUAUAAAGCUCUAAUAUUGUAAGUGUACUCUUGUCAAUUUUUCAAGAACAUGAACUAAAAGGUGAUGCAUAAACCAAUGAAAUCUGUAUCAAAGAAAGAGUAACAAAAUAGAAAUAAAAAAUUACAUAUAUUAAAAAGAAACUAGAAUGUCUUAUUGCCAAAAGACAAGAAAACUUGAGACUCUUGAAACUAGAUUAGAAGCAAGAAAGGAGUUGACAAGAAUGAAGAGGGCUUCACUCUUAUCUCUAUAUAUACUAUCUAAUUAAAGGCUACGUAGUGAUAUUCUAUAGGACCUCUAAUAUGUGUUGACUUUAUAGGACACAUGCCUUAACUUACAAGGUAAGUUUUUCUACAUGUAGGCCAUAUAGUUAGCUUAGACUUCAAGUUAACAACAUGUGUGGCACAUGGUUAACUUGAUGAUCACUUUAAUAAUCCAAAAAGUCAAUUAUAGACACCUAUAAAAUAAAAACAGCAUCUAUGAAGCUUUUAGGAAGUUUCUAUAAAAGAUAUUAUAGAAUUAAUUUAUUUUUAUCGACUUCUACUUACUUCUAUCUAUUUAUACAUGUAAUUAUUGGCUUACAUGUAUAUCUGUGAUACUUAAGCAACUCUUAGAAUAAAAUUCAAAAAGUUGAUUGUCACACUUCACAUUAAAGUCAAUUGCUUGACUCAAUUUUUGAAGAUUCAAUAAUUUGAGCAUUAAUUUUUUUAUUUUAUAUUAUAAUCCAAAAAAAAGUUGGAUAAUAAAUACAACAUCAUUUUACUUGUUAUUAAUUAUAAAUUAUCAAAAUUAUAAAUCAUAUCACAUUAGUAAUCAAUUUCUUUAUUGUAAAAUAUGGAUCUUCUUGAUUAUAAUACAAUUAUAUCAUAUUUUUUAUACAUAGAAUGAAACUGUCAAGGACAAGAACUCGAUGAAAAACAAUUCAGACAAGCGAGCCUUCACUCAAAGAGAGGUAACAAAAUAUAUAUAAACAAGUAUAUAUAUUGAAAUAGAAACUGGAAUGGCUAUUGCCAAAAGACAAGAAAACUAGAGACCCUUGAAACUAGACUAAAAGCAAGAAAGGAGUUGACAAGAGUGAAGAAGCCUUCACUCUUGUCUCUAUAUAUACUAUCUAAUUAGGAGCUACAUGGCGACAUUCUAUAGGACCUCCAAUAUGUGUUGACUUUGUAGGACACAUGCCUUGACUUACAAGGCAAGUUUUUCUACGUGUAGGCCACAUAGUUAGCUUGAUCUUCAAGUUAACAACAUGUGUGGCACAUGGCCAACUUGUUGACCACGUUUCUAAUCCAAAAAGUCAAUUAAAGACAUCUAUGAAGUCAAAGCAGCAUCUAGGAAGUUUCUAGGAAGCUUCUAUAUUAAAUAUUAUAGAAUUAACUUACUUUUAUCUACUUUUACUUACUUCCACCUAUUUCUAUAUGUAAUUAUUAGCUUACAUGAUAAUGGCCGUGACAUUACCCCCCCUUCUAGAGACGAGUUCCACGAGGAGCGGUCAUCAUAUGUUGAAGAAAUCUAUGAUGCGACGAAUUGUAUUCGCCACAUACUCUGAUCUCUGUUCUCUUCAAAGAUGAUUGAUAGGGCCUCUCAACCAUCGGUAGUGUCCCAUACCAGGGCGGGAAGACCACCCAGUUAUUUGAUCAUUGUUGAGGCCUUCGUAACUUCCUUCGAAUAGAAUAUUCGGAACACCAUCAGGAGUUGUUCCUACCUCUAACAAAAUCACCAAACAUCGAGAGUCCCUUCCCAAAUCGUGAUACCAAACGCAUUGUAUCUCACCAUCUAUUCGAGGAAGAACAUGUCAUUCUUGAAGAUCUUCAUCUCGAUUGCGUCGUCUUGAAGGUUGUGACAAUCGUAAUGUCUCGUCCGGCAGGUCAACAAACGAAGGUUCUUGAGUUGAAUCCGCUGGUUGUUGGCUCUCCAUCUAAUUAGCAUCACAAAUGCAAAGAAGUUACAAACAAGGAUAGGAAAUUGAAUGUUAUCUUGCCUCAAUCUUGUCUCUUUUAUAAGAGAGAUUUUUAUCUUGGUUUCGAUGGAUGUCGUUGAUGAAAAACUUUGACUUUAGCUGAUGCAUUUGCUAGAUUCCUAGAUGGCUCCCAUGUGCGUUCACUAAUAUCAUAUCCGCGCCAAUGAACAAGAUAUUCCAGUUUAUUUCGGUGCCGCCUUGAGUCUAAUAUCUCUUCCACCUCAAAUUCUUCAUUAUUAUCUACUUCUAUAGAAGGCGGUGGCAUUUGUCUUCUUCCUUAUAUAUCCACUGUCUUAUAUGGUUCAAGAAGAGACACGUGGAAUACAGGAUGGAUCUUCAUUGACUCCGGUAGAUGUAACCGAUAUGCAACUGGGUUGAUCUAUUCAGACUCCGGUAGAUGUAACCGAUAUGCAACUGGGUUGAUCUAUUCAGAAACAGAAAAGGGGCCAAGCCUACGAUAGUCCAAUACCUUAUCACCCACAUUGAGUUGUGGUUGCUCCUUACGAUAUAGAUCUGUAUUUAUCUUUUGUCGUUCUUGAGCUUCCUUCAAUUGCGUCUUCAUUAUUGCAUGUAACUCUGACAACCGAUUUGCCAUAUCUUCUGCUGCAGGAUUAUAACUCUGACAACCGAUUUGCCAUAUCUUCUGCUGCAGGAUUAUCAACUUUUGAAAAAUCAAAAGUAUCAAGUCGUGGAUGAUAGCCAUAAUUGGCAAAGAAAGGUGUUUGUUGCAUGGAAGAAUGUACCGUAUUAUUAUAAGCAAACUCUGCCAAUGGCAGAAGGGUUGUCCAAUCAUCUUGUUGGUAGUUGAUAGUACACCUUAAAUAUUGCUCCAAGACUUGGUUUACUCGCUCUGUUUGUCCAUCAGUUUGAGGAUGGAAAGCCGAAGAUAGCUUUAUGUCCACUUUUAAAAUCUUGAAAAGGGUCCUCCAAAAUCUUGACACAAAUUGAGUUCCCCUAUCCGAUAUGAUAUCUUUAAGUAAUCCAUGAUAGCGAUAGAUAUUAUCAAUGAAAAGCUUAGCUGUUUCUUCACUUGUGAUAGAUUUUGUACAUGGCACAAAAUGUGCCAUCUUGGUGAAACGAUCUACUAUCACAAAUAUAGAAUCAUAAGAUCUUGAGCUUGGAAGAUCUGUGAUGAAAUCCAUAGAAACAGAAGACCAUGGUUGUUCUGGUAUAGGUAAUGGCUGAAGAAGUCCGUAAGGUCGAUGACGAGGAAUUUUUGAUCUUGAACAAAUAUCACAUGAUUGUACAAAGUCUUUGACUGACUUCCACAUUUGUGGCCACCAAAAAUCUCUUGAUAUGAGUUCCAAAGUCUUAUUAUAUCCAAAGUGCCCUGCUGCUGGAAAGCCAUGACGUGCUUGAAGAACACGUAAACGUGCUUCUCCUUUUGGAACAUAUAGGCGUCCUUCAAAAUAUAAUAGAUUAUUCUUGAACUCGAACUUAGAAGGAUCAUGAGACUUGGAAGAAUUAUUCUCGAUAUCAUAAACAAGAGGGUCUGAGGACAUACUGGACUGGAUUUGCUUGAGAAAAGUUGAAUCAACCGUCAAUGUUGAUUUCAUUGCUCGGAGAUGAAAUUGCUCCGGUUUCAAGAGGACCAUUCUUUGUUGCUCAAAAGCUGCAUCUCCUUCUUUUGGUGCAAAAUAAGAACGUCUAGAUAGGGCAUCAGACAAACCUUGUUGUUUUCCUGGCCGAUAAGAGGUAAUGAACUCGAAUCUUGACAAAGACAUACUUCAACGAGCUUGACGCUGAUUCAACACGCGUGCUGACAUGAAAUACUCGAGGUUCUUGUAAUCUGUAUACACAGUGACUGGACUAGAAGCGCCUUCUAGAUAAUGACGCCAUUCUUGAAAGGAAUCCACGAUCGCAAGAAGUUCUUUAUCGUAGAUCUCAUAAUUGAUCUCGGCUGCUGAGAAUUUUCUUGAAUGAAAAGCUAUCGGAUGAAGUUUGUCAUCUGAUCCCAUUUGUGAUAAAACUGCACCCAAGGCAAAAUCUGAUGCAUCUGUUUCCAUAAAAAAUGCCUUGGAAAAAUCAACACGAUAUAAGACUGGUGCAGAAACAAACGAUGUCUUCAAGGCUUCAAAUGCUGCUUCCGCUUCUUGAUUCCAUUGAAAUUUAUCUUUACUAGUCAAGCGUAUAAGUGGAGCUGCAACUCGUGAGAAAUCUUUGAUGAAGAUCCGAUAGUAAUUGGCAAAUCCCAAGAAACAUUGGACAUCUCUUACUGUCCUUGGAAUCUUCCAAUCCAUGAUUGUUUGGACUUUCUUAGAAUCCAUCAUGAGACCAUCAUUUGAAAUGAUGUAUCCUAAAAAGUCAACUUGAGUAGUGUGAAAUACACACUUUUCGAUCUUGGCAUACAAUCUUGCAUCUCUAAGUUUUUGUAAUACUUGACGAACAUGUAUUUCAUGUUCUUCAACGUUCUUAGAAUAGAUCAGGAUAUCGUCUAGAUAGCAGACGACAAAAUUGUCUAAGAAUUCAUGAAAUACAUCAUUCAUGAGAUGUUGAAAAGUAGCUGGUGCAUUCGUGAGUCCAAAGGGCAUGACAUUAUAUUCGAAAUGUCCAUACCUGGUUCGAAACGCAGUCUUCCAUUCAUCUCCUUCUUUGAUCCGUACUAGAUUAUAUGCUCCUCUUAGAUCUAUUUUUGUAUAGAUCUUAGCUUGAUUCAACUGGUCAAGGAGUCCUGAUAUCAAAGGUAAUGGAUACCUGUUCUUGAUUGUGAUCUUGUUGAGUCCUCGAUAAUCAACACACAUUCGUAAAGAUCCAUCUUUUUUCUUUAUGAAUAGAAUUGGAGCUCCUGCUGGAGAUUUUGAAUGGCGUAUGAAAUUCUUCGCUAAAUUCUCGUUAAUAUAUGUCUUGAGUUCAGCCAUCUCAUCUUGCGAUAAACUGUAAAUUGGUCCAAAUGGUGGCUGAGUUCCUUCCUUGAGGUCGAUUGAACAAUCAUAUGGACGAUGCUCAAGAAGAAUAUCUGCAUUCUUUUUCUCAAAAACGUCUUGAUACUCCUGAUAUUGACUUGGAAUGCCACUUGAAUUCUUUACGUUUUCAAAAAUAGGUGCAGCAUAAAUAGCAAAAGUUGAUCCUUCUUUUGCUGCGUGUAUAAAUGCUUUUGUACCUAUCAGUACGGGUUUUACUAUACUAGACUUAUAAUUUUUUAUUUGGUUCGUAGAACUAUUAAUAACGCUCUAGGAAAAGUCAAGUUUACGUGAAUUCCAAUCUAUUCGAGGGUUAUAUUUUUUUAGCCAGGAUAAACCUAAAAUAACUAGAUUGGACGAGGAUUUAAUUAUGUUAAAAGCUAUGUAGCUAUCAUGACCGUCUAUUGUUACUUUUAUAGGAUGAGUUUCAUGAGUGACAUCUCCAGAAGACAAGGGACGACCAUCUAUGACUUCUACAUGUACUGGUUUAGGUUUCUGUAUAAAGGGUAUUUUACGACUUUUAACAAAUUAUUCAUCUAAAAAACAUGCUGAGGCUCCCGAAUCUAAUAAAGCAGAGGCUUUGUAAUUCUUAGGUCCUAAAUAUAAGUCUAUUAUAAAACAAGGAGAGGGUUCUGAGGAGAGGAUAGGACCUUCAUUAGGAAUUGUACAAGGUUCCAGCUGCACGGUCCCUAUUGUAGCUGGACGAAUCCAUUUUCCGACAUGUUGUCUUCUUUGACCGUCGUACCCCUCAUUUUAUAGUUGCGUCGUUUUUUUGGACAAUGUUGAGCAGUGUGCUUAGGUUCUCCACAAUAUAAACAUAAUCCUUCUUGACGACGAUGAAUCUUUUCUUGCUCAGUUAGGGGUUUAAAACGUACCGCGUCAAUUUGCAUGUCUUCUACUUUCGAAUGUACAUUUGGCAAAGAUGUUGAUGUUGCCAUUGAGUAAUAACGUUGAGGUUCCCGUGAAUGAUUCUCGGAUCGAAAUUCAAAAAGUCGAUUAUCACAUUUUACCGCAAAAUCGAUUGCUUGACUCAAAGUUUGAGGAUCAGGUAAGUUGAGCAUCAAUUUCUUUACUUCGUAUUGCAAUCCAUAAAGAAAUUGACUGAUGAGUGCAGCAUCAUCCUACUUGAUGUUAAUUACAAGUUGUCAAAAUUGUGAAGCAUAUACUGUUACUGAGCGAUUUUCUUGUCACAGAAUUCGGAUCUUAUUUGUUGCAACACGAGUUGCAUCGUGUUCACCAUACAUAGAUCGAAACUCCGCCAAAAAAGCUUCCAAAUUGUCCAAUAUUGGAUUUUGUUGUUCAAGAAAAGAUGAAAACCACGAUAAUGCAGAACCAGAAAGUAGAGUGCCAAUAAACCUGACUUGUGAUCCUGGAGUUGGAUAGCUUUGCGGUUGAAGUUCAAUUGCCAAUUGUACUUGAUUGAUGAACCCUCGAAACUUUGAUCUCGCACCAUCAAAUUUCUCGGGUAAGGCAAUUCUUGGUUCUCUAGUGCUUACAGGGUGUUGUACAAUUGGAGAAGGAACGUGAUUUGUUGUAGAUGUUGAAGCAGCUCCGAUCAUCUCUAUAUCCCCACUUUCUGCCAUUCUUGUUCUUUCCUAUGUUGGUGAAUUGAGUUGAUGCAUCGCAAGCAUUAACUCCCUCAUUUGCUCUUGCAUUUGUGCCAUUGCACUCUUCAUUUCAAUAAGCUCUGCCAUAAUAACACUAAGAAGAAAAAUUUGUUUGAUACAGCUCAAGACAAAAGAAAAGAAAGACUUGAUAACAAAGAAGAUACUAAGAACAAUAUCAGUUUAGAAGUGGGUAAUCCGCAAACUUCCAAUACGCUUAUGUCUUGUCAAGAGAAAGGGGUAAUCCACUCUUACUCAAGAAAAAACAAAGCUCUGAUAUUGUAAAUGCACUCUUGUCAAUCUGUCAAGGACAAGAACUCGAUGAAAAAUAAUUCAAACAAGCGAGCCUUCACUCAAAGAGAGGUAACAAAAUAUAUAUAAACAAGUAUAUAUAUUGAAAUAGAAACUGGAAUGGCUAUUGCCAAAAGACAAGAAAACUAGAGACCCUUGAAACUAGACUAGAAGCAAGAAAGGAGUUGACAAGAGUGAAGAAGCCUUCACUCUUGUCUCUAUAUAUACUAUCUAAUUAAGAGCUACGUGGCGACGUUCUAUAGGACCUCCAAUAUGUGUUGACUUUGUAGGACACAUGCCUUGACUUACAAGGCAAGUUUUUCUACGUGUGGGCCACAUAGUUAGCUUGAUCUUCAAGCUAACAACAUGUGUGGCACAUGGCCAACUUGUUGACCACGUUUCUAAUCCAAAAAGUCAAUUAAAGACACCUAUGAAGUCAAAGCAGCAUCUAGGAAGUUUCUAGGAAGCUUCUAUAUUAAAUAUUAUAGAAUUAACUUACUUUUAUCUACUUUUAUUUACUUCUACCUAUUUCUAUAUGUAAUUAUUAGCUUACAUGAUUAUGGCCGUGACAGAAACUUUAUCAAAAAAGCCUUUAAAUUAUCUAAUAUUAGAUCUCAUCAUUUAAAAAAAGAAAAAAACCAUGAUAAUGGUGAAUCUAAAAGAAAUAUAUUAAUAAAUUUAAUUUACAAUCUUAGAAUUGGAUAGCUUUGGGAUUGAAGUUCAGUCACAAAUUGUAUUUAAUUGAUAAAUCCUUCAAAACUUGGAUCUAUAUAUAUUAUCUAUAUAUAUUAUCUACCUAAGAGCUAAAUAGCAACAUUCUAUAGAACCUUCAAUAUAUAUUGACCUUACAAGCCACAUGUCUUAACUUGCAAAGUAAGUUUUCUAUGUGUAUGCUAUAUAGAUAGCUUGUUUCAUAAUCUACCUACAUAUGUAACACAUGACUAAUUUGUUGACCAAAUUUUUGAUCUAAAAUCAAUUAUAAAUAUAUUUAAAGUCAAAGCCAUGUCUAUGAAACUUUUAAAAAGAUUUUAUAGAAGAUAUUAUGAAAUUAACCUAUUUUAUAUACUUUUAUUUAUUUAUAUCUAAUCAUAUAGGUAAUUACUAGAAUUAAUAUGUAUGUCUGUGAUAGUAUAUUUAUGAUAGUCAAUGUGGGUAUUGAAUUGUUGUCAAUCUUGUUGGAGUAUGUUAUUAUUAAGAUUUGAUUUUAAGAUCACAUAUUGACUUAGAAAACAACUAGGUUUGUCAGAUAUACUCUCUAGACAUUUUAAUCUUGCAUCAAAAAAAAAAAAGAUAUAGUUAUUGAUAAAUAAAAAAUAAUUAUCUUGAAACUUAAGCAAUUUCAUCUUCAAGUAAUAAAAUCAACAUUGAUUGUUGAUUCAAUCUUUGUUAAGAAAAUUUAAUCAAAUAUGUCUUUUAAUCUUCUUAUUUAUAAUAUCAAGAAUAUUUCCUCUAAGUCUUCUGAUACUUCUAAGUUUGAAUUUAAAAACAACCUACUCUAUUUUGAAAGUCUCCUAUAUGUUCUAAAAGAGAAAGCACAUUUAUGUGUUUUUCAAGUACGUCAUGGUUUUCUGACAAUAAGACAUUUUGGAUAUAACAAGACUUUAAUGCUUAUUUUUAGAAAUUUUUAGUGACUAAAAAUAUAAAAAGAUGUGAAAGAAUUUGUACAAUCAUAUGAUAUUUGUUGAAGAUCAGAAACUCCUCAUCAUUGAUCUUGUAGACUUUUCUAACCAUUGUCUAUAUCAAAACAAUCAUAGUUUUUUAUUUCUAUGGAUUUUAUUAUGAAUCUUUUAAGUUCAAGUUUAUAUGACUCUACAUUCAUGAUAGUAAAUUGCUUCACUAAAAUAACACAUUUUGUACUAUGUACAAAAUUUAUUUUAGAUGAAGAAACAAUUAAGUUUUUCUUUGAUAACAUCUAUUCCUAUCAUAGAUUACCAAAAAGAUAUUAUAUCAAAUAGAAGGAUAUAAUUUAUAUCAAGAUUUUAAAAAAUCUUUUUUAAGAUAUUGAAGGUGGAUGUAAAAUUAUCUUUGGCCUUUUAACUUUAAAUUGAUAGACAAACAAAACAAGUGAAUCAAAUUUUUUAGCAGUAUUUAAGAUGUACCAUCAAUUAUCUUGAAGAUGAUUCAACAACUAUUUUGCCAUUGAUAGAGUUUGCAUACAAUAAUUUAGUAUAUUCUUCUAUUCAACAAACAUCUUUCUUUGCCAAUUAUGGUUAUCAUUUACCACUUGAUAUUUUUGACUUUUCAAAAGUUGAUAAUGCUAUAGCAAAAGAUUUAGCAAAUCAUUUAUUAGAACUAUAUAUAAUAAUAAAGGUAUAAUUAAAGAAAGCUUAAGAAUGAUAAAAUAUCAAUGUGAAUACCUAUCAUAAGAAACAACCAUAAUUCAAUAUUAGUGAUAAAGUAUGGUUACUUUGUUGCAAUAUCAAGACUAAUCUUCUUUGUAAUAAGUUGAACUAUUAUAGAUUUGGACCAUUUUUUAUUUUUAAAUAAGUCAAUUUUAUUGCUUAUCGAUUACAUCUAGUAAAGUCUAUGAAGAUCCAUCUUAUAUUCCAUAUGUUUCUUUUUAAGCCAUAUAAGAUGAUAAAUAUCUUGGAAAAAAGACAAAUGCUACCUCCUCCUAUAAAAGUGAAUAAUAAUCAAAAGUUUGAGAUAGAAGAAGUCUUAGAUUCAAAGCAACUCCAAAAUAGAUUGGAAUAUCUUAUUCAUUGGUAUGGAUAUGAUAUUAGUACAUGCAUAUACCAACUAAUAAAGAAGGUUGAUGCUUUUCAUUGAUGACAUCUAUUAAAAUUAAGAUAAAAAAUAGAAAAUAUUUGAUAUAAAAGAAAUAAGAUUCAAGGAGGAUAGCAUUCUAUAUUCUACCUUUAUUUAUAUUUUUUAUAUAUUUGUGGCAUUAAAAAGAUGAAGAAUCAAUAAUUAGUAAAUUUAAUUUAAGAGUUAUUAUUUACUAAUUUAUUAAAUAAGAUAUUACAAUUGUCACAAUCUUCAAGUUGAAAAAAUUUUAAUAAUGAUUUUCAAGAACAACAUGUCCUUCCUCAAAUAGAUGGCAAGAUAUAAUGUGUUUGAUAUCAUGACAUUCAAUGAAACUCUCAAUAUUUGGUAAUUUUAUUAGAGGUAGAAAUGAUUCUUGAUAAUAUUUAAAAUAUUUUAUUUUAAGGGAGUUAUGAAGGCCUGAACAAAAAUCAAAUAAUAGGGUGGUCUUUUUACCUAUGUAUGAGACAUUAUCAAUAGUUGAGAGGACUUAUCAACCAUCUUCAAAGAAAAUGAAGAUUAAAAUAUAUGGCAAAUAUAAUUCAUAGCAUCUUGGAUUUCUUCAAUAUAUGAUGAUUUUUUAUUGGAACUUAUUCUUAGAAGAGGGAUAAUAUCAUAAACAUAUUUAUUUUAAUAAUUAUAUAUAUAAUUAGAUAGAAGUAGGUAAAAAUAAAUUAAUUUCAUCAUAUCUUUUAAAAAAGCUUCUUAGAAGCUAUAUAGAUGCUACUUUGAUUUUAUACAUAUUUGUAAUUAAUUAAUAAGUUAGAAACUUGGUCAACAAAUUAGCCAUGUAUCAUAUAUAUUGGUAGCUUGUAAAACAAGCUAACUAUGUAGCUUACAUAUAAAAAACUUGCCUUGCAAGUUAAGAUAUGUCUCUAGUAAAAUCAACAUGUAUUGAAGGUCCUAUAGAACAUUACUAUGUAGCUCCUAGUUAGAGAGUAUAUAUGAAGACAAGUAUAAAGCCUUCUUCAUUCUUGUCAAUGCCUUUCUUAUUUUUAAUCUAGUUUGAAGAAUCUAUAUUCUUCUUAUCUUUGGCAAUAGCUAUUUUAGUGUUAAAACUAUAUUACUUUUGGAGUGAAUAUUUAUUCUUCUUGAGUUAUAUAAGAGUGUUUUAAAGUUCUCCUUGUUUUGAUUCAUUUCUGUGAUAUCAUUACUUAUGAUACAACAAGUUUCUUAAUUUUGAAAAAAAAAAAAAAGAUACAAGAAAUAAAGAUUCUAAUUACAUGGCCUCUCAUAUUGGUUUAAUUGGAUGUAUAUUUGAGUAGUUCCAUAAGAGAGUAUUGUCUAAAAAAUAAUGUGUUUUAAUAAAUAGUGCAUAGUCAUAUUCCAAAAAACAUGUUACUAAGUGGUCACACAAAAGUAUGCUUAUUCUUCUUUGAGAAAUAAUAUGAUAUUAUAUAGCAUUAAGGUAUUGUGAUGUUUGUGCUUAAUAUUUCAGUAAUUGAAAUAUAAUAGAACAAUUGUUCCAAAUAUGAUAUACAUAUCAUUUGAUCAAAUAUAAAAAUUGGCUGAUAUACUCUAUUUCUUGGAUUGUAGAAGUAUAAUGGAUCUUUUGCUAUGUGGUGAAGAGACAUUAAAGACCUAAUAUAGAUGAUACUAUAAAGAGCUACAAAAUAAGUGAAUGAUUAUAUUUUGAUAAAAUGGUUUAUUUUUGUUGCCUAAUUAAUAAAACAUUGGAAUUUCAAUGAUUUUUUUAAUAUUUUAGGUGUCUAUAGAUCUUUCAGCAACUCGAGUAGGUAAUAUUGGCAAGAAGGCAAAAAAAUUGGAGCUUACAUUAUGAUUGGUCCCUUCAAAAAGUAAUUCUUAGAUUAAACUUGCUUAGUUGAAAAAAAGAGUGGAUCUUUAAUUCUAAUGCAAAUUAAAAUUGUAUUUGGAUCAUGAAAUCAAUACUUUUUCUCCUUAAAAUUAUUGUUAUAAAUAUUUGUUAAUUGUUGCAAGAGAGAGUUAGUGGCACUUCAUAGUAAUAAGAGAUUCUUUUUAUAAUCAAGAUCCUCCAUAUUAAGUUGUUGAAGCUCAUAUAUUAAUUAUUCAUCAAGACCUUGUAAGCAUCCAAAAGACUUUCAAAUUCAUUGACUUGGGAUUUUUCUAAUAGCUAUCAAAUACAACUCAUUGUCUUAAUAAUAAAAAAAAUUAUCUCAACUGAUGCAUUCUAAGUUCAUGUGUUUGCAAAUUUUUAUAUUAUGUUCGACAUCUCCACCAAAAAAUUGAAUUGAUGUAAUUGUUGUCACAACCAAUUUAGUCGAGGUUUAGGAUUUAGGGUUUAGGAGGCAAGUUGUUAAUAAAAUAAGAGAUGAGUUCUACUAGAGAUAGUUAUGAGUUUCCAAAUAUGACUCAACUUAGCGACGACAUAAGACGACAAUAGAAUUAAUUCCAUUCAAUACAAUAUAAGCAUAAUAAAAACAUAGAAUAAUCAUAUAUUCAAAUAUCUCUUAAGGUCGUCAUACCAAAUGGCUUUAAUAUUAAAAUAUGGAGAUGGAUAACAUUCCUACUAGCCCUACAAUUUAGGCUCUUCUACAAUCCUAUUAACAUAGGAUUUGGCUAAGCCUACUUCUUAUCUUUACAGAAAAAGGGAGGGGGAAAUAUACAUAGAGAGAGAGGCAUAGGAUUUGGCUAAGCCUACUUCUUAUCUUUACAGGAAAAGGGAGGGGGAAAUAUACAUAGAGAGAGAGGCAAAAGAAGGAAGGCAAAGGAAAGAAAGAAAGGAAGGCAAAGGAAAGAAAGAAAGGAAGGCAAAGGAAAGAAAGAAAGGAAGGCAAAGGAAAGAAAGAAAGGAAGGCAAAGGAAAGAAAGAAAGGAAGGCAAAGGAAAGAAAGAAAGGAAGGCAAAGGAAAGGAAGAAAUGCAAAGGAAGGUCACGGAAGGGGGAGGUGGGGUCGCGCGUCCUGCUUCAUGGCCAGGGCGGCUUCACCGAAACGGAUGGCGAGAGGGUGGUGGAAAUGCGGGCGAUGGACGAGGGGGGCUCGAUGCAAUGUGAUGCAGGGCUUGUGCGGGGGAGAUGGAAGGAAGGAAGGAAGGCAAAGCAACGAAAGGAACGAAAGGCGUUGCUUGAGGGUAAGUACCCUGGUGACUAGGCUCUCAGUCUCAGUGGCCAUGGUGAAUCCCUGCCACCCUCUGGCUCUCGAAAUCCCUCUAGCGAUUGCCCUUCUUCACCACCACCACCACCGUUCUUUGUAGCCUUGUUGUGGUCACAUGAAUGUCUUCUCGAUAGAGGUGCACGUCAUUCGACAGCUUGCUGCUCGAGUGCUGUGGUAGUCAAGAUUUUUUGGGGGGGAUUGUUGGAGUUUGUGGAACUAUCCCCUCGUGAGGAAUUUCGGUGGGUUUCGCUGUGGCGGUGGAGUUGAUCGGUGAUGUUGGUUCUUUUGUUUCCGUGAGAAAGUUGGGUUUGUAGAUUGGGUUGUUACCUGGUUUAGCGCUGGGUGGUGGUUGAGGUGCAUGAAGUUGUCUGUGUUAGUGUUCAUUGUUGACGUGCGGGGAUCGGAGACAGGAGUGUUUGAAUUCAGGUUUGUGGGGUCCUCUGUGGGUUAAAUUCUGAAUUGGGAGAAGAUGAAGGGAGGAGGGCGAGCGUUAGGGUUUCCUGCUCUCAUCCGGUUCACCCAGGAGCAAGCGCGACGGGCAGUGCCCAUUUUAGGUCAACAGGUUCGAAGUUCUUCCACGACCAAUCCCCCCACGGAGUCAUCCUCAACUCCAGCAACCCCUACCCUCACCGCAUUGCGAGAGCGUCUCGCCAAAGGGGGUCCUAGCCUAGGUGAUUUUAUCACUCAUUCGAGCACAACUCCGGAGGGAUACUCUGUGGAAGUGGGCACCAAGAAGAAUCCCAAGCCAAAGCCUGAAUGGAUGAAGAUGGUUGUUCCUGGCGGAGACAAGUAUGCUUCAAUUAAGUCCAAGUUGAGGGAAUUGAAACUGAAUACGGUUUGCGAGGAGGCCAGGUGCCCCAACAUUGGAGAAUGCUGGACAGGGGGUGAAACCGGCACUGCAACCGCUACCAUCAUGAUACUCGGGGAUACCUGCACACGAGGUUGCAGGUAUGUAUUGCAGCGGAUUUCGCCCCGAAUUUACUGUCCUGCGAUUCCACAUAUGCUCUUGAUGGGACUUUGUUGAAUAUCCUCCAUCACUGUUCUGCGGAUUGUAGUAGUAAAUCCCUUUCGGAUUUCUAGAAUAUGAAGCCUUGGAUUUGCGGUGUUUUAUUGGUCCGCAGGUUCUGUGCGGUGAAAACUUCGCGAGCCCCUCCACCGGCGGACCCUGAAGAGCCUCUGCGAGUUGCCGAAGCUAUAGUUGCAUGGGGAUUGGAUUACGUGGUGCUGACUAGUGUUGACAGAGAUGACAUGCCUGAUCAGGGCAGCGCACACUUCGCUGAGACUGUGAAAAAUCUGAAAGAGCGCAAACCAACAAUGCUUGUUGAAGCGCUUGGUAAGCGUUUUUUAUUUUCCCUUUCUCUUUUUCUUUCUUUUCUUUACUUUCUUCUUCUUCUUCUUCUUCUUCUUCUUCUUCUUCUUCUUCUUAUUUAUUUAUUUAUUUAUUUUUAAACCCAUUAAAUUGCAUGUCACAACUCCUUGCAUCUUGUCUAUUGUUUUAUUCUAUUUAGAAUCCACUAGUUUUUGCCUUGGUUUGCUUCAACAGAAAUAGUGAGUGUCUUGCGGAUGUUCAAAUCAUUACCUGAAACAUGUGCGUGCUUCACAGUUCCGGAUUUCCGUGGUGAUCCGGCGUGUGUGGAAAGAGUUGCAACAUCGGGGCUUGAUGUGUUCGCUCACAAUAUUGAAACUGUUGAAGAGCUUCAAAGCUCUGUACGGGAUCGAAGAGCUAAUUUCAAGCAAUCCUUGGACGUGUUGCGCAUGGCCAAGAAGUUCGCACCCCCGGGCACUCUUACUAAAACAUCAAUUAUGCUCGGCUGUGGAGAGACUCCUGCACAGGUAUUUUCGUCCACAUGGAUUAUCCUAUUUGACUUUUCUCGGUAAGCAAGGUAGAUUGCUAUUUUAUCUCGUAGUGAUGUUUGGAGCCACUGUGUCAUGGAUCACUCAUGUGUGUGACUAUAACGUUAGUGAAUGUUCCCGAGUUCUUCGUAAUAACGAAUUGAUUUUGUCAUUCCAGGUGGUAAAAGCAAUGAAGAGUGUGCGGGCGGCAGGUGUGGAUGUGAUGACACUAGGCCAAUACAUGAGGCCAACAAAACGGCACAUGCCUGUUUCCGAGUUUGUCACUCCUGAGGCAUUUGAAGAGUACCGGAAGUUGGGAGUUGAAUUGGUAAGAUUUUGAGAAUUCUUCAAGCUCUAAUUUCGUUUGCAUGGAGUUGUCUACCUAUGGGCAGAAUCCAAUAUUUUAUUACUUUUUCGCUGGGUUAAGAAAUUUUGGACUAAGUCACACAUUUUGAAACCACUCAUCAAGCUGACGGUGUUGCAUUUUCAGGGCUUCCGAUACGUGGCAUCUGGCCCAAUGGUACGCUCGUCCUACAAAGCCGGGGAGUAUUUCAUUAAGUCCAUGAUCGAUGAAGAUCGUGAAAGGCAAAGAAUCGCUGCCAUAGAGUAGAUACACCAUCCUUGGUGUUACAUCCAAUUAAGGGGAGUUGGUCUUCGAACGAAACAAUCUGGAUGGAGGGUUAAUGUGCGCACAAGUGUUUUUCUGUGUGAAGAAAUUUUCUCCCCAUAUUACAUCUAGAUUCAAGAUUCUUUCGUAAUACGUCAGAUUUUCAUUUAAUGCCGAAUGGCAGCUUUGUGAGAGGACCUUCACAUACGUGGGGCUGUAAGGUUACUUUUUCAGCAGGGUCUCAAUUAGUAUACGUCUGUAUCAACUAGCUCAUUGAAUGAUUGUUUAGGAGAAAGAAAGGGCGAAACAGGAGUUCAGAUCUUCUGUCGGGAAUGUGCCAUCAUCUUUGUUUAUCAUCUAAACAUUACUUUUAUGGCUUGUAUUUAAAUUAUGUUUGGUAACAGUCGUUGCGCAAUGCCUUCAAAAACCGCUCAGAUGGCAUUGCAAGAAAGGUUCUGGUACAAGGUGUGACACAGAUUGGUUUUCUCGAGAUGAGAUAAUGAACGGCGGGUGCUGGUGACAAGCUAGUGAUUGAAUGGUUCGUGAGCUUCUCAAUCGUAUGCUAAUUCAUGGCUAAUAUUGAUGACAGACAGAUAUGUUAUGAAGCUAUGAGACCAAAUUGCAACAGAGCCUGCUAAGAUAUGUUCACACUCGUCUUUUCACUAGACAUUCUAGUUUUCUGUGUCUAUAUUCGGCUAAAUGAGACAUUAUUUGUGAGCUAUGUUAAGAAACCACGGGGAAGAUUAAUGCUACACGCCCUUGGUUAGAAGGUGCUAAUGAAGAACCCUUCGAAGAGUUUUGAUAUCUCAAUCUUAGAAACGCUGAUUUAACCAACCGGGAGGCUUGUAAUUAAUUAGAAAUUGCACUGUAAACAUGAGUUUUGAAGGGAAAUGAACUACAGAAGCAUAUUUGUAGCGUAGAUUAACAUAAAAAAACAUGAAAAUCAAAAAAUGAAUGAACCAGAUUCUACAGAAUAUAGAUUGUUAGCAGUUCAGCAACUUUACGCGAACGUGGGCUGUGGGCUGUAGGCUGGAGCUCACUAACAGAAUAGAAUGAAGUUGGAUGAUAGGAUUGCACAGGUUUUAAGUGUUUUAGCAGUUGCAGCUCAUUCUAUCUAUGUUUUCCCCAUCACUUAACUAAAACUCAUUGAUAAGACAUGUUUUAGCCAUGUCUGGAACAUUUCCUGAGUCUCAUUGAUGCACAAAUGUGUAACAAUGUAUGUUAGUCCAAGCUGUAAUAAAUUUGACAGUAAGCAAAUGUAACGGAAUAUUUUUCUGCUAGUGUCUUAAUGAGGUAUUACAAUUUUUGAGCAUUUUGUAGUCAUUAAUGAAGGUAUAUAUAUAUAUAUAUAUAUAUAUAUACACACAUUCAUAUGUGAGUGUGAGAGAGAAAUUCAGCAGAAAAAUAAAUAAAGAAUGAAUGAAAACACAAUGCAAUACAAUAAAAUGAGGUGCAACACUUGAACUUUUUUUCAUACAAACACCACCUUUCAAUUUGAUAAAACAUUUCUGGGUUCAAUACAAUCUAGUGUUGGCUAUGUUUUUAUUUUUUUUUAUCUCAUCUUCUUCUAAAGUGUGAAAGAUUCUUUCAUUACAAUCUUUUGACCACGAUUGACUUUAGUACCGACAUCCACUAGUAUUGUCAAAGCACCAGUACACUAAAUGGAAUAUUUAGGAAAAAAAUUCCAAAAAGCAUUUAAUGUAUGAUGGUUGAUGAGUCCUACUUUUUACAGUUUAAUAGCUUUAUAUGUAUUAUAUCAAGUGUCAUUAAGUACAAAUACAGCUUCUACAUUCACUUUCAUUGCUAUAAAAGAGUUGCUCCAAGAAUGUACUUUUUUCACGAUGACUUCUUAAUGACUAUUCUUUAUAAUAAAAAUAAAUAAAAAUCAAAACUUGGAAAUUUGUUGAUUGUUAUGUUAACAAUACUUAUUAAGAGAUGUUUCUGUAAUUUCGAUGCUACUAUUUUUGAAAACUAUAAAAUUUAAAACUUUUCAAAAAGAUGUUAAAGUACGUAAACAAUAUAUAGUAAUACAACUUAGUGGAUUAGAAAGCUUAUAUUACGUAAAUAUACACACACUUAAUGACAUUGACUGGCAACUUUUUGAGGUUAAAUGUGAUUACUGUACUAAUUUAUAAAUUAUACAGUACUAACAACAAUAACAAUCAUAUUGCGUAUACUAAUAUGGAUACUCAGACUAUAUGUAUUUAUUAGUAGUAUACGUACGGGUUUCAAAACUAGUGGACAUAACUCACACUAAGCAAAAUAAAACCACUAAGUAUAAAUUUAUUUUAUUUUAUUUUAUUUUAUGAUGAUAGUAGUAAGAUUAAUAAUGAUAACAACAACAACAACUAGUGUGAAAGUUUUUUUUUUUUUUUUUUUUUUUUUUUAACAUACUCAUUUGAUUGGAAUGGCCACAUGAAAAGUAUUUUGUGGUUGUUGAUUCAUACGAUUUUUAAAAUAUUACCUUUCAUACAAUUUUAAAACAUUGAUGAUUUGCACCAUCAACUCUCAUAUCCUACAAAAACGACUAUUCAUUUUAAAAUAAAUGUUCAGUGAACUGGGUAGUUGUCUCUACAAAUCUGUCAAUUCAUAGUGCCUUAUCUCAGAACUCAAAAUUGUUGAAGGAUAUUUUGAAAAAAACCUCAUCAUUCUGUUAAGCAACUACCAUUUCCAUAAUUCAAGUGACAUUACAAGGGGAAGAAUAAAUUUUAAUUAGAAACAAAAUAAACAUAAGCUUACUUAAGUUCAGUGUUACCCAAUGUACUCAAAUGCACCUCAUAACAUAAAAUGUCAUAUGUUGAAUUCUUCUGUUAUUAGUACUUGCAUGAACAGAAUGUAGAUAAAAAUGAGGAGGAAGUAUUUUGUAACAACUGUAUUUGCAACUUAAGCUUAAAUAAAUAUCUUGCAAAUUAUUAUUGUGUUUAUGAUAACUUUAAAUCAGAUUUCUUUAGAAUUAACUCAUCAAAAAUACCUAUUAUAGAUUCUGCAAAGGACACUCAUCCUUGUUUAAAUUAGUGUUUGAUUUGAGCAAGAAUGGGAGAAAUGGGGUACACCCACUUUAUGAAAGUAUAGAAUACAAAAGUAAAAUGGUAUGGCAUGAUGGACAACAUUAUUUGUCCCAUGCAAAAGUGGACAAUCAAAUAUAUUGGUUCCCAUCCAAAAAGGAUUUAGUUCUCCAUUCAAUCCCCUUGAGUUUCCCAUCUAAAACCAUUAGUUCUCAAUCCAAAGUGUACUCCCUAAAAUAUAUGAUUUAGGGCUUCUCCAACAUGUUUUACCUCUUCACAAGGGAAUGCUCAAGAGUGUCCAUGCCAAUCUCAUAGCCACCACCUUUCAUGUCUUUCCUUCUCACUCUUAUCUUUUGUUCUUUUUUUCAUUGUUUGUAUUAUUCCAAUUUCAAAGGGACCUAAGUCUAACCUCGUUCUAGCAUGAGGUUAGACUUAGGUCUCAUUGUAGCACCUGGUAGUAGAUUUUGAAAACAACCUCUUCUCCCUUCAUUAUUUUUUUGAAUACAUUUAUUGGGGUUUCUUUCUAUAGUUAAUCGAUUUUUUUCUUUUUGCUGAUUUUUAUAUGAAAUUAUUUUCAAAAUUUCUACUUGUAUUUUUACAAAAAUUGUAUUCACGUUGAAAGAAGUUUGAUAAAGAAUCUUGAAUCUUCAUAUUUAUAACUACCACACACACACACACACAUAUAUAUAUAUAUAUAUAUAUGUGUGUGUGUGUAUGUGUGUAUGUAUACGUAUGUAUAUUAUACGUAUAAAUAUACAUGUAGAUUUACACACAUCCAUACAUAUAAAUAUCUAAUUGUCAUGCAAUCUGGCAUCCUCUUUCAUUCAUUGUCUCCCAAUGUCCUCCCUACACCUCUGCUACAUUAAAUUAAAGUGCAAUUCCCCUACUUAAGUCUGUGUGUAUGUAUUAUAUGUAUAUGUAUAUAUGUGUGUAUAUAUGCGUACAUAUAUACAUAUAUAUGCAUAUAUACAUGUAUAUAAGUAUAUGUGUAUAUGUGUGGGUACUUGUUUUUCCAAUUGAAUAAUUCAGAAUGAAUGCUGCACAAAAAGAGGGAGAGGAGGAAAUGCUUCUAUGGAGCACCCACUUUAGUGAACCCCAGGUCCCCCCAACCUCAUUCAUCCAUCCCUCUCACUCUAGGCAAGGAUGCGAAUGGAUGGUCCUGCUAAUGGAUGAAUGAAUUGUUCAAUGAAGCACAGUACUUCUCUCACCCAUCGCACAAUAGGAGAACUGCAGUCAGGCAUUGGGUGUUGUGCUUUCUCACUUCAGUCCCACAUCCAUCCAUCUUAUCAUACUUAUCAUUCAUCCAUACAUGCACAGGCUGUUCGAACAUAAAUAUAUUGAAGUAUGAGAAUAAAAUCAAUAAUUUGAAGCGCUUUUGGUUGGCACUUUGGUGCACGAGUACUAGCACCUAAUAGAACACAAACAAACAAACAAACAAACUCAAGAACAAAAAUGCUACAAAACCAACUGAAAGAGCCUUUUUAGGUUAACAAAACUGGCAAGAGCUGUUGCAAAAUCAUCAUUGUUUUGCCGUGUUGAAAAAGGUGAGGGGAAUUUCACCAUCUCUUUUUAACAAUCAAAGAAUCUGGCUUCUAAAAAUAAAUAAGGAGUAAAGAAUAAAAGAAAAAAAAAAAAAAAAAAAAAAAAAGACUUCAGAAACAGAGGCAGUUCUGUCGAGCCGUUUCAAGGUGUGGAAUCUGGAUUUAUUCACUCUAUUUAUUUAUUAAUUGUAUAGAAACCCCUUGUUUCACAAGUCAAGCAAUUGUGGCAUUUGUUUUGUGGAGUUUCAUGCAAAGAGAGUGAAUUUGGAAUUGAGUUGUGUUCCUUUCUAAAGACAAAAGAUGAAAAACAUUGAACAAAAUAAAAUAUUCAAAAGGAUCCUAUUAUUUAUGAACAUAAAUAUAUGUAUAUAUAGCAAUGUCUUAUAGAACAUAGAAGACUUUGUUAGGAAUUUUUCAAGAAGAAAAUAGGUAAACAAUUUGGAACAAGAGACUCCCCUUCGCAAAAGAAAGGGAUAAUUUUUGGAUGGCAAAAGAGAUGCUAAGUUCCAAAGAGCAAAUGGUAAUUAAAUGAAAUAUUAUUAUACCACAAAGUGAUGUAAUAAUACAAGAUAUGGCAACGGUUAAGAAAGUAUUAACAAUUACUCUGUAGUAUCCUUAUCUCUGUCCUCCAUGUUAUUAAGAGGUAAGGCAACUUUUGUAACUUUCAUUUAAUCAGAGCAUUUGGUAUACUUCAAUUUUUGUGUCAAAAAAAGGAGGAGAAUAUAUUCACAUAUAUUUGAACGUAUGCAUAUGUUUUCUUUACCACAGAAUAUUGCUAAUCGGUUGCAUUUUCGUGGAACAAAUAAAAAAAAAGUUGUGCAUUUGUAAAUCUUCCAAUGAGGGGUACUCUAUUCAUUUCCAAAACAGAUUUCUUUUGCAGCUUAAAUUACAUUAUUAUGCACAAAGUGACUGCACUAGACUGUCUUAAAUAACAAUGUCAAUACAAGGUAAAUAAUGGAUAAUUACAGGCAAAUAAAUAAAAUGAUUAGUUGUCAUGAGUGAUCAUUGAUCACGAACUGAAUGAAAAACUGAUACACAACAUUUAGAAGUGACCCAAUUUUUAUUUCAAACAUAAUAAAGAACAAAAACCAUAUGACUUGGCCUCAGCCCCCAGUCAAAAUAAACAUAAAAAUAAAGUAUCUGAGAAGAUUUUAGGGUUUGGGACUGUGGAUUAUGCAGGAGGAGGAGGAGGAGGAGGAGGCUGGACUUAGUCCAAACUUAGGGAGGCAAGUGGGACAGCCAGUCUAUAUUGGCACCUGGUCCCACAAAUAUAUGUGUAUUGUGUAGCAACAAUUUGUCCUUUCACAUCAUUCCAUCUCCUUCAGGGUAGCCGAAUACUUCAUAGACUGAUCUUCUCCACCCAGUUCCACACAAUAAUAUCAGUAGGGCCAGUCUUGGGUCCUAUAUUUAUACACACUCCAUUGCUUUAUAUAUAUUAUUAAUACAUAAUGCCAGUAGAUCUUGGCAGGGUUCAGCAUGUCGACAAUUACCCCCACCCCCAUCCCCCUUAGAAGUUAUUCCA
Molecule: long non-coding RNA, 69875 nt
Filed under: Physcomitrium patens
Lineage: Eukaryota; Viridiplantae; Streptophyta; Bryopsida; Funariales; Funariaceae
Description: long non-coding RNA (PPAT_LNC007582)
Source: RNAcentral